Molecule: long non-coding RNA, 50307 nt
Filed under: Citrus maxima (pomelo)
Lineage: Eukaryota; Viridiplantae; Streptophyta; Magnoliopsida; Sapindales; Rutaceae
Description: long non-coding RNA (CMAX_LNC002714)
Source: RNAcentral
CGGGCCCUUACGAGAAAUGUAACGCCUAUUUCUCAUUUUACCCUUUCCAGGGCGAAUCCCCUGGCUGUCCUUCGCCUUCUCAGCGUCAGCAUAUGCACCGAUCUGCUUCAGAACUUUAAGAGCAGCUGAUGUUUUCUCAACACAUUCGGCGGAAUCACUGACGACCAGGGGCAUUUCCGGAACAGUCUCGAUCUUGUGACCACGGGCCAUCACAAGUGAGGGGACAGCGGAGGCGGCAAUGGCGGAAACGAUGGCGUAUCGCUUCUGAUUGACGUUGAUCUUACGGUGCCAUCGGCGCCAGAUCUUUGUGGGAGCGAACAUGCGACCACCGCGACACAUGUUACCGAAGGCUCCCUGGCCGGCACGGUGGGUACCGCCUCCGGGAACUCGGGGGAUACGGGAGACGGCGCGACCGGUACCCCAUGAUUCGGCGGAGGUCUGGUGCCCUGCCUUCUUGGAAACGGCGUAAGGCUGGCGGCUGUUCUUGGAGAUGUUAGAGUGAACGAAGCCCACGAUGUCGGGUCGGAUAGAGGCCUUCAUGACGUCGGGCAAGGGGACGGUGGAGCUUGCGUCGGUGGCCAUGUCACCUUCCAAAGACUGGACGGUGACAAGAGGACGGGCAGCGGCGGCCAUUGGUUUUGGUUUGUGUGUGUUUUUUUCUGUUGGGGGAUAUAUGGGGAAGGGGGCAGAGCCGCAGCGUUAAGUUUGCUAGGGUUUUAUUGAAGCCGAGACUGGAGUGUGUGUGAGAUGAAAAAUAAAGUGAGAGUGAUUAGGGUUUUUUAGGUUUUUGGAUGUGUUUGGUUAUACGUUUCUGAUACCCCUACGUGAUAGAUGUGAGGUUAUUCCUAUCCUAGUUUUGUCAAAUGUCAUAAUGAUAAUUGAUCCCAUGAGGUGAAAAAAUGAUAUCGGUCCCGAUUUUCAAUUGGCCCAAAUCGGCUGAAUUGCUUUAGAAGUGUGAAAGUCAUUUGUUUAUUUAGUGGUGCCAUUAGCAUCACUCCCUGAUGAUGACUUGAUAAUAGUAAGUGCAUAUUUUAAAAAUAAUUGUCAAAUUGUAUUUAUUUUUUAUAAUUGUAUUGUUAUUAUGAAACAAUUUCAACAUAACCGGAUUCUCUCCUUAAUUCUUAAAAUAACUUUUAUUUGUCUUUUUCUUUUCAAUAGAAACCUGUCAGCUAAUCUCUUUAAUUUCAACCCUUUUUUUGUUCUCCUUCUCCACUUCUAGAAGUACCCUUCUUCACCAAAACUAAACAUACAAGAUUGGUAAAGCACUACGCUAAAUAAUUUAAAGUAGAAAUGCAAGCUUAGAGAGACCAAUAAGAAUUGGCUCUACAUGAAGUUGAAUGGUGGAAUGAUUUGGGAAGUGAAGAAGUAGACGACAAAGAAAACGAUAUGGAAGAUUAGCUAGCUAGUAAUAGCCAAAAGUCAAAGUAGUCAGUCUUUAUUAGAGUCAUGUUUUACAGAUGCCCUUCUUUUACUCAUUACCUAACAAGAAAAAAACUGUGAAGGUAUCUUUUUCUUUUUGUCUUUUUAUUACAGAUAGUGAGUCAGCUUAAACAAUAGUAGACAGUCACUAUUUACCGACACUGAGUCAUUACAAAGUGAUAGUAGCCAGUUAGUCUUUUGACUUUUCACCUUAUUAAUUAAUCGUUGGCUUUUUGCCGCAUGUAAAGUAUAAUUUUAAAGUCUUGUCCUUUGUACAUAGAGUCAUAAAUUGUAUCAAAAAUUGUAUCGAGUCCUUAGUUGUAUAUAUAGACCUCUUGAGUAAAGAAGGUCAAGGGUAAGAGAGAAGGAAAAUAAAAAGAGAGAUGAGCAAGAGAAACAAACCAAUACUCUGUACUCAAGAAACAAAAGAAAUAAAAAAAGUUUCUUAUUCAUAAAAACUUAGCAAUCUUUUAGACACCAACUAGCAAGCUCUUAUCAAAUAAGUGGAUUUAAUUUCUUUAGUUUUACUUAUUUAACUUUCGGGUUUAGAAGUCUCACCUAGUUAAUAGAAAUAUAAAUUAUAUUUAAAGCAUUAACAAAAGGUUGUCCUUAUUAUUAUUCAAUGGAAAAUAGUUUGGAGGAAAGUUUUUGAGAAAUGUGUUUUUUUUUUUUUUACAAAAAUAAUAAGAACUUAGCAGAGGUUUCUACUGAUUUUUUAAAAGCUUUUUUUUAAACAUGGUCUCCGUUGGCCCAUUUAGCUGUUAAUGUGUUGAGAAGACUUUUUAGCUGUGAUUCAAGAGUUUAAAAGUAUUUUUAACUAGCAUGUUUUCAGAUCAGUUUACUAAACUUUAAAAAGUCAAUUUUUGCCAAGGAAAGUUUCACAGUUUUCACAAAACAUUUGGGAAUUCACUAUAUAUAAGUGGAAAAUUGGCGACAUAAUUUGAUGGUUAACCCGAAUAGGAACUAUAUCAGUCUGCACUACCGGUCUAACAAGCCACGUAUAAGUUUUCCCCUAACUCUACCUUUUUCUUUUGUGUUCUUUAGUAUAAGAGCGCCUUUUUUAUUCUUGUUUUAAGUAUUUUUAUAUAAGUAGUUACAAGGCAGACUUAGUUAACUUUAUGAUGUAUUUUCCAAAUUGGCUAGAUUUGACAAAAAUCUUGAAAAAUUCUAUAAAAGUCCAUUCGUUAUUUUAGAAAAAGAUUUUGCUGCUUGGAUAGAAAAUAACCCUUGCAUAGAAAUUUUAAAACGUGCUUUAGAAAUUGUAAAAACUAAAGUAGCAAUAAUUAGUAUUUACAAUUAGACAAUUUAUUAGAAGAAAGAUUAGGAAAUUUAAAACUUCCAAUAGACUACACAUCUCCUUUAGCUCCUAAAAUAGAAAGAAAAAUAAGUUUUAAAUAUUAUUAUUUUGCAAAUUUGUCUUUAUUUGACUUUAGAAAGUUUAAUUUACGAUAUUAUAAUAUUAACAAGUAGAUAAAAUUAUUAGACAAGUAUGAGAAUCUAGCAUUAAAAAUCAGAAAUAGAUUAGAAGAUUUAAAAAAUUAGUUUAUGAAUUUUCAAAAAUUAGAGUUUUAGAUUUAGAAAUUAGCCAUCCUAGAAAACAAAAAUUAAAUUUGACAAAAAUAAUCAAAAUUAGUUGUAAUAUCGAGCACUUCGAAAAAAAAUUUAAACAUAUUCCACACACUAGUAGAUAUAUUAAUUAAUUUCACAGUAGAUCUAUUAAUUAAUUUAGGACAAUACCUAUAAGUCAAUAUAGAAAAGCUAAAAGAAAUAGUACUUGGACUAAGAAAAUUCUUCAAAACUAGCAAUAUUAAUACGUUAAGAAGAAAUUUAGAUUAUAUUAAAGAAUUAUUACUCGAUUUUAGUAGCCAAAUUAGAAGAUUCCCUAACAAGAAAGAAAUAAUAGAAUUAAUCCAUUUAUUAGACAUUAAAACACAUAAUCUAGUAGAAUUAGAAAUUAAAAAAACCUUAUAGAAACUUCAAAAGUUGAAAUAGAAAAUAUUAACAAAAUUAAUAGUCAGUGAAUGAAUUCAAAAAGGCAAUAAAUAUAAUCUUUAGUAGAAUUAAAACAUGAAACACUACAUAUUAAUCUAGUAGGUUAUAGCUUUAAAGAAUUUAGUCAAGAAAGUAAUGUUAUUUAGCAAGCAUAAGCAAAUACUAUUAUUAAAUUAUUAGUCAAAGUUAGUAAUAAAUUAGAAAACCUAGAUAAUAGACUUAUUAAAUCAAAAAGUAGCUUUUAAGCCUUUAGAAAAAGUAAAGAAUCCAUAUCAAAUUUAGAACUCAACAACUCACUAGACAAUUUAGAUAAAGAACUAGACAUGUUGACUAAUAGAGUAUAAAAGUUAAAUUUAAGCAGGCCAAUUUUAGUACCUGGAAAAGUAGACACAAAGUAAUAUUAAAAAGUAAUGGACUUAAUAAGAAAUAGUAGAAUAAAUAUAAAUAUGGCAGAAUUAUAAAAAGAACUAGAGACACAAUAGAUGAAUAGGAUUUAGACAAAUUAUUAGAAAGAUGUUUUGAACAAAUUAGAAAGAAAAGAUUAUGUAAUGAAGCUUUAAUGUCAAAAAUAAAUAAUAGUUUAUAUAUCUACGCAGAUGAAACUAAAUUAUUAGUAGUAAAUAGAAGAGAAUAAUUAACUUUAAUUAGUCCAAUAGGAAGAGCUUAUCUUAAGAAAAAAAUUACACAUAUAUACAUAUGGGAAGAACAGUAAUAGGAAUCCUUAGUCAAGUUAUAGAAGGUUUAGACACUAAAGCUCGUUUAUAUUUAUGUGACAGUAGAUUUUAUGAACAUGAAUAAACUUAAAUAGCAAGUGCAGAAGCAUACUUAAAAAAUAAAGUAACAAUACUAGGUUGUAUACCUAAUAUAGACAUGGAUAUAAAUGAAUUUUGUGAACAUAUUAAAUUAAGUGUGCAAACUAAAAGAUAUAAAAUAAAUGCAGAAUAUAAAAAUCUUAGAAUGAAAACAUUUUUUCUAGGAAAAUUAUAUAAUAAAUAUUAUAAAAAUUUUACUUUUGAAAGUAAAAAUAUAGUAAAUUGUUUUAAAAGUCAAUAUGUAGAAAUGAUAGUACCCAAGAAACUAAGUAGUAGUAAAUUAAAUGGAUUACAAUGGAUAUUACCUAAAUUAGAACAAGAUAAUAUGUUAAAAGUACCAGAAACUAACUAUAUAUAUAAAUAGACAAAACCAAGUGACAUAGAGAUUUAGUAAUUAUAGACAAAGAAGUAAUCCAGAAUUACAAGAAAACGAACAAGAAAUAGAAAUUAAUAUGGUUAUAAUAGAAAAUUUAAAUAUAUAUAUAUAUAAGCAUAAAAUGUUACUUAAUAAAAUAGUAAAAAUUAUAGAUUUAAUAUUUAAUGAUCCUAAAAAAUAUUUAGAUGAGGAAUUAUUUGAAGAAUUAUGUAAUAAUGAUAAAUUAGCAGAUGAUGACAUGGACAACAAACUUAUAAAAGAUUUAGAUUUUAAGAAUUUAACCAUAGAUGAAAUAUAUUAUUUAGAACAAGUAAAUGAAAUAUUAGUAGGAGAAGAAGAUGGAAAGCCAGAAUUAGGUGAAAGUAGUAAUAGACCUAUAUUAGAACAAAUAGUAGAACUAUCGAAUGUUGAAAGUUGCUUAAAUAAAUAAGGAAUUCCAUAAAGUAAUGAAAAAUACACAGAAUCAGAAAGAGUAUUUAAAGCUAAAACAAAAUUAGAAAUUUGGAAAACAAUGCCAUAAGCUAGACAUUUAUUAGUAUUAGCAUUAAAAGGACAUAGACCUAGUGAAUGAAAACAAGUAUUUAGCCAGUGAAAAGGUAAUUUACUUAGACAUUCUAUGGAAGCAUUAGCAGUAAUAGUAUACCCAACUUAUAGAUUAAUAUAUUUAGAAAAUACCUUAGAAAGUAGAAAAAAAAAUAAAUAUAUUUAGGAUGGAGAGAAUGGAUGAAGAAAAAUAAAAUAGAAGAAUUAGACAAUUUUGAUAUAAAUAUUACAAUAGUUAAUUUUAUAGAUUUAAUGAAAAAAUUAAUAUUAGGAGUAGAUGAAAAAGACAAUGUAAUUAAAUAAAUUAAAGCAAUUAGAAAUCUAGAACAAUUAAAAAUUUGUAAUUUAAGAUAUUUUGAUAAAUAUGCCAAUUAUUUUUAUAAAUAUUGGAGUGAAAUAGGAAGACCUUUCAAUGAGGAUUUAUUAUUAAAAUCUGUAGAUAAAUUACUAGGAAAAAUAGGAGAAAAAUUACAUAAUAAAAUAAUUAAUUGGUUUAAAACUAAAAGAACACAAGGAAUAAAUUAUUAUGCAACAUUAUUACCGCUAAUAAAAUAUGUUAGAGGUAGAAUUAGAGAAUGUUGUGAAUAAGAAAUCAUAGACAUCAAGUAAAACUACAAUUUAAAAAAAUGUGUAUAGACAUGUCCUAAGUUCCAACCUUAGAGCCGUAAUUAUCCUAGUUAUUUUAGACACAAGAAACAUAAGAAGUAUAGGAAACGUUAUAAUCAAAAUAAGCAACCAUAUAGGUACAAUAAUAGAAAGUUCUAGAAAAAUAAAUUCUUUAAAUAUAAUAUUAAUAAACAAAAAGUUAGAAAAGCGUUUAAAAAGGAAAAUGAAUUUAUAAAAGAAAUAAAGCUUGUAAAUGUUUUUUAUAUGGUAAAGAAGAACAUAUUAAAUCACAUUACCCUGAAAUAAAAAAAAAAGGUCAAUCAAUCAGAAAUAGACAGUUAUAAUGUAAAAGUAUAUAUUUUAUACAUAGAAGUAAUUCUUAAUAUAGAUGAAUUAUCUGAUUAUGAUAAUAUAUGUAUUAUUAAUAGUAGUGAAUCAGAAACUAGUAAUUGUUCAAGUUUAGAAUCAACUGAAAAAUAGAAUCAGAUUUAGAAAUUAAUGUUUUAGAAACAUACACAUCAUUUUUUGGUAAAAACUGUACAAAUUGUAAUUAAAAUUUUGAACUAGGAUAUAGAGAUAAAAACACAGGAAAAUUCUUUUGUAAUAAUUGUAAAGAUAAACAACAAGAAGAUAAAACAACAGAAAUAAAUAGAGCAAGAAGUGAACUAAUAAAUAUAUAUGUAGAAUUAUUAUUUAAAAAAAUUAUACUAAAGCAAUUAUAGACACAUGUGCAAAUAAAUGUGUCAUAAAUGAUAGUUUAGUAACAAAAGAGAAUAGGAAUAAGUUAAGAAAUCUAGUAAAUAUUAGACAGUUUAAUGGUGAACUAAUGCAAAUAUCAGAAUGUAUAAAUAAUAUACCUAUAAGAAUAAAUGGAGAAACACAUAUUUUACCGCAAAUAUUUGUUUCGAAUCAGAAAGUAAGAUAUAAAUUGAUUUUAGGACUAAACUUUAUAUUAUGAAAUAAUGGCAGUAUAUUAAUAGCUCCAAAUGGAGUAAAUUUCUUUAAAAAAUCAACAUUUAUUCAACCAAAAUAUGAAAAACACAUUUUGUCGUACAAAAAGAAUAUUUUUAUGCUAGAAAAAAAUGUCGAUAUAAAAUUCGUUAAUUCUUUAUUAGAAGAAGAAAAGGUAGAAAAUACUAAAGAGUUAAAAGACAGUAGUAAGUUAGAAUUAGAAAAUGUCAUGCAUAAAGUCAAAAUUUUAGAUGAUGAAGAAAUAGAAAAGUACUUAGAAGAUGCAAUGAGUGUAGAAAAAGAAUUAGAAUGUUUAGAAUGUGAAAAAUAGCCUGAAGAAAUUAGAAAAAAGUAGAAGAAUUGGAAAUAAUAGGCAUCAAAUCAAUUAGAAAAGGUAAUGAAAAAGUAUAUAAAUUAGAAAUUAUUAAUCCAGAUAUAAAAAUAUAAACACAAGAUCUAACUUAUAGCCUAUAAGAUAUAAAUGAAUUUAAAAUGCAUAUAAACGAAUUGUUAGAAUUAAAAGUCAUUAUAAAAAAUACAAGUAGACAUAGAAGUCCAGUAUUUAUUAUAAAUAAUCAUAGUGAACAAAAAAGAGAUAAGAGUAGGAUGGUAAUUAAUUAUAAAAGAUUAAACGGUAAUACUUUUGACAAUAGUUGUAAAAUAUCUAAUAAAGAUGAACUAGUAAACUAUAUACAAAAUGGUAGAUAUUUUUCUAAGUAUGAUUUGUUGGCAAAUAUGACUCCAUGAGGAAUCUAUUCAAUGGACAGCUUUUAGUUGUUGAAAAAUAUAUUUUGAAUGGCUAGUAAUACCCUUUAGAUUAAAUAAUGCGCCACUAGUUUUUCAAACCAGGAUAGAUAAAAUAUUAAAAUCUUUUUUAAAAUCUUGUAUGUUUAUAUAGAUGAUAUUCUUGUUUUUAGUCAUAAUAAGUUCAUGCAUAUAACUCACUUGCAUAAAAUUUUACAUUGUUUUAAAAAUAGCAAUAUAAUAAUUUCUAAAAAGAAAAUUGAACUAUUAAAACAAAAAAAAAAUAGAUUUUUUAGGACUAAGAAUAAAGUUAGUAAAAUAUUAGAAUUUUCAGAUAAAAUAAAAGAUACUAAAGUACUACAACAUUUCUUAGGAUUAUUAAAUUACAGUAGAAAAUUUAUACCAAAUCUUGGUUCAAUAUUAAGGCCUCUAUAUGAUAAGUUAAGUAAAAAUGGACAAAAAUAAUUUAGUAGUGAAGACAUAAAACUAAUACAAAAACCUAAAGGAAUAGUUUAGAAUCUUAAGCCAUUAGCAUUACCUAUAGACAAUUAUUACAAAAUUCUACAAACUGAUGAAAGUAGUUUAGGUUGGGCAGGAAUAUUAAUACAAAAACCGAACAAAGGUAGCUCAAAAGAGAAAGAAGAAAUAGAAAGUAGAAAAUUCUUCUGUACUUUUUUAUAAAAUUCUAUAAUAUUAUUACAAUAUGUUCUUAUUAUAAUGUGUCAUUUUGUAUAUACAAAUGAAAUUAGUUUAAAGAAAUUGUUAUUUCUAGAAUUUCUAAUUUUGCACUAGAUUUUCUACUUUCUAUUUCUAUAAAUUUUCCACUACUAUACAUUGCUAUUUCUUCUUUCUCUUUUGAGCUACCUUUGUUAUGUUUUUAUAUUAAUAUCCCUGGCCAACCUAAACUAGUUGCAUCAGUUUGCAUAAUUUUAUAAUAAUUGUCUAUGAGCAAUGCUAAUGGCUUAGGAUUCCUAACUAUUCCUUUAAGUUUGUAUUAAUUUUAUGCCUUCACUAUUAAAUUUUUUUUGACCAUUUUUACUUAAUUUAUAAUAGAGAUCUUAUUAAUGUACUAAGGUUUGGUAUAAAUUUUCUAUUGUAAUUUAAUAAUCCUAAUAAAUUUUAUAACUUUUUAGUAUCUUCUAUUUUAUCUAGAAAUUCUAAUAUUUUACUAACUAUAUGUGGUUGUAAAUCUAUGUUUCUCUAUCUAUUUUUAGUCCUAAAAGUCUAUUUUUUUGUUUUAAUAGUUCAAUUUUCUUUUUAGAAAUUACUAUAUUAAUUUUCUUAAAACAAUCUAGACUUUUAUGUAAGUGAGUUAUAUACAUGAACUUUUUGUGACUAAAAACAAGAAUAUUAUCUAUAUAAACUAUACAAAAUUUUGAAAAAGGAUAUUAAUAUUUUAUCCAUGCUGACUUGAAAAACUUGUGGUGCAUUUUUUAAUCCAAAAAGCAUUAUUAACCAUUCAAAAUAGGGGUGGGCAUAUUUUAACCGAACCGAUCCAAACCGACCAUUUGGAUCGGUUUGGAUCGGUUUCAUUAGUAAAAAAACUGGUUUCGGUUUAUUGGAUUGCAAACCGACAUCACUCGGUUUGGAUUUCGGUUUGGAAGGAUUCCAAACCGAUUCAAACCGAUCUAAUCCAGAAAUAUUAUAUAAUUACAUUAUAUUCUAAGUUAAGAAAUCUAACUAAUUAUAUUUAUCAUUUUAUGCAGAUUUUGACAAAUCAAAAGUAAUUGGGCCAUAAGUUUUGACGGACAAGAUGCACAAUAUUUUAAUUGUCAAAUGUUAUUCAAGUUUAUUUUAAUUUUGUGAGUUUGUUUUGAAUGAACAGGUUAAGAACUUCUUUAUUAGGAUGUAUUAUGCUGUAAACUUGUAUGGAUGUAUCUUUGAAUUGUUAUGUAGAUAUCAAAGUAGAUAUGAAUAAUAUAAAAAAAAUGUAUCAAUUUGGAUUACGGACACAAAAAAAUAACAAAUAAUUUAGGUAAAAUAAUAUAAAAGAAGUGGGCUUUUAGCUAAUAAGCUCAAACUGAGGAUCCGAACCGAUCUAAACCGACUGGGUCGGUUUGGAUCAGUUCGGUUUGAAAAAAAUUUAGGUUGAUAUCGGUUUGAAAAUAUUUCAAACCGAUAAGUUUGGAUUGGUUUGAGAAUAUGUCUCAAACCAAUCCAAACCGAAUUUGCCCACCCCUAAUUCAAAAUGUCUUUUUGAACAGCUAAAAGUUGUCCAUUAAAUAAAUUCUUCAUAGAGUCAUAUUUGCCAAAAACUACUUUUGCAAUCAAAAUUAGAAAAAUAUCUAGCAUUUUGUAUACAAUUUACUAGUUCAUCUUUAUUAGGUAUUUUAUAACUAUUGUCUAAAGUAUGGUCAUUUAAUCUUUUAUAUUUAAUUACCAUCCUACUCUUACCUCUCUUUUGUUCACUAUGACUAUUUACAAUAAAUGACCAUACUUAUAAUUUUGCUAAUGACUUUUAUUUCUAACAAUUCAUUUAUAUGCUUUUUAAUUCAUUUCUAUCUUCUAAACUAUGAUCUUGUGUUUAUAUUGUUAUAUCUGAAUUAGUAAUUACCAAUUUAUAUACUUCUUUAUUGUCCUUUCUAAUUGGGUUGUUGCUAUUAUUUUUAAUUUUUCUAAUUCUUGUACUUUUUUUUCUAAUUUCUUCAAGCCAUUUUUCACAUUCUAAACAUUGUAUUUCUUUUUCUACACUCAUUACAUCUUCUAAGUACUUGUCUAUUUCUAAUUUUUGCUUUAUGCAUGCCAUUUUCUGAUUCUAACUUACUAUUGUCUUCUAACUCUUUUGUAUUUUCUCCCUUUUCUUAUUCUAAUAAAGAAUUAAAGAAUUCUAUAUCUACAUCUUUUUCUAGGAUAAAAGUCUUCUUUUCAUAAGUAAAAUGUGUGUUUCAUAUUUUGGUUGAAUAAGUGUUGAUUUUUUAAAAGAAAUUUACUCAAUUUACAUUUAUUAGUAUACUAUCAUUAUUUCCUAAUAUAAAGUUUAAUUCUAAAAUAAAUUUAUAUCUUACUUUUUGAUUCGAAAUAAAUGUUUGCGGUAAAAUAUGUGUUUUCCAUUUAUUCUUAUAGGUAUAUUAUUUAUACAUUUUGUUAUUUGCAUUAGUUCACCAUUAAACUUUCUUAUAUUUAUUGGAUUUCUUAACUUAUUCCUAUUCUCUUUAGGUACUAAACUAUCAUGUAUGACGCAUUUAUUUGCACUUGUGUCUAUUAUUACUUUAGUAGAAAUUGUUUCUUUUUUAAAUAAUAAUUUUACAUCUACAUUUAUUAGUUCACUUCCUACUCUAUUUAUUUCUAUUGUUUUAUCUUUUUACUAUUUAUCUAACAAGUAUUACAAAAAGAAUUUUCCUUUGUUUGUAUCUCUAUAUCCUAGUUCAAAAUUUUUAUUAUAAUAUGUAUAGUUUUUAACAAAAAAAUGAUGUGUAUGUUUCUAAAACAUUAAUUUCUAAAUCUGAUUUUGUUUCUUAACUAUUACUAGUUUCUAAUUCACUACGACUAAUAAUACAUAUACUAUCAUUAUCCAAUAGUUAAUAUAUAUUAAGAAUUUCUUUUAUGCAUAAAAUCUAUAUUUCUAUAUUAUAACUAUCUAUUUCUAAUUGAUUAACUUUUUUUUUUUUAAUUUCAGAGCAAUGUGGUUUAAUAUAUCCUUCUUUACCACUUAAAAAAAUUUACAAGCUUUAUUUCUUUUAUGGAUUCAUUUUCCCCUUUUAAAUACUUUUCUAACUUUUUGUUUAAUAUUAUUAUAUUUGAAGAAUUUUUUUUUAUAAAAUUUUCUAUUAUUUUGCCAAUAUGGUUGCUUAUUUUGAUUGUAACGUUUCCUAUGCUUCUUAUGUUUCUUGUGUCUAAAAUAACUAGGAUAAUUACAGUCUAAGGUUGGAACUUCGAACAUAUCUAUACACAUUUUCCUAAAUUGUACUUUUACUUGAUGUCUAUGCUUUUCUUCUUCACAAUACUCUCUAAUUCUACCUCUAUCGUAUUCUAUUAUUGGUAAUAAUGUUGCAUAAUAAUUUAUUUCUUGUGUUCAUUUAGUUUUAAACCAAUUAUCACUUCAUUAUGUAAUUCUUCUCCUAUCUUUCUUGGUAAUUUAUCUACAAAUUUUAAUUAUAAAUCCUAAUUGAAAGGUCUUCCUAUUUCACUCCAAUAUUUAUAAUAAUAAUUAGCGUAUUUAUCAAAAUAUUUUAAAUCACAAGUUUUUAAUUGUUUAACUACAUCGUCUUCUUCAUCUGUUCCUAAUAUUAAUUUUUUCAUCAAAUCAAUAAAACUAAUUACUGUAAUAUUUAUAUCAAAAUUGUCUAAUUCUUCUGUUUUAUUUUUCUUCAUCCAUUCUUUCCAUCAUAAAUACAUUUGUUUUUCUCUAUUUCCAAAGGUACUUUCUAAACAUAUUAAUUUAAAAUUCGAAUCUACUAUUAUUACUAAUGCUUCCAUAGAAUGUCUAAGUAAAUUACCUUCCCACCGGUUAAAUACUUGUUUCUAUUCACUAGGUUGGUGUCCUUCUGAUUCUAAUACUAAUAAAUCUCUAGCAUGCGUCGUUGUUUUCCAACUUUCUAAUUUUAUUUUAACUUUAAAUAUUCUUUCUGAUUAUGUGUAAUUUUCAUUACUUUUUGGGAUUCCUUAUUUAUUUAAAUAACUUUCUACAUUUAAUGGUCCUACUAUUGAUCUAAUAUAGGUCUAUUACUACUUUUACCUGGUCUUGGCUUUUCAUCUUCUUCUUCUACUAAUAUUUCAUUUACUUGUUCUAAAUAAUAUAUUUCAUAUAUUUCUAAAUUCUUAAAAUCUAAAUCUUUUAUAAGUUUGUUGUCCAUGUCAUCAUCUGCUAAUGGAUCAUUAUUACAUAAUUCUUCAAAUAAUCACUCAUCUAAAUUUUUUUAGGAUCAUUAAAUAUUAAGUCUAUAAUCUUAUCUCUAUUAUUAAGUAACAUUUUAUGUUUAUCUAUAUUUAAAAUUUUAUAUUUAGCCAUAUUAAUUUCUAUUUCUUGUUCGUUUUCUUAUAAUUCUGGAUUACCUCUUUAUCUAUAAUUACUAAAUCUUUGUGUAACUUGAUUUUGUCUAUUUAUAUAUAUAGCUAGUUUCUAGUACUUCUAACAUAUUAUCUUGUUAUAAUUUAGGUAAUAUCCAUUCUAAUCCAUUUAAUUCACUACUACUUAGUUUUUUAGAUACUAUCAUUUCUACAUAUUGACUUUUAAAACAAUCUACUAUAUUUUUACUUUCAAAUCUAAAUUUUUUAUGAUAUUUAUUAUAUAAUUUUCCUGGAAUUUUUUUAUUUUAAGAUUUUUAUAUUCUACCUUCAUUUUAUAUCCUUUAGUUUGUACACUUAAUUUAAUAUGUUCACAAAAUUCAUUUAUAUCUAUGUCUAUAUUAGGUAUAUAGCCUACUAUUGUUAAUUUAUUUUUUAAGUCUACUUCUGCAUUGACUAUUUGAGUUUGUUUAUGAUCAUAAAAUCUAUUAUCAUAUAAAUAUAAAUGAGCUUUAGUGUCUAAACCUUCUCUAGCUUGACUAAGGAUUCCUAUUACUAUUCUUCUCAUAUGUAUAUAUGUGUAAUUUUGUUUCUUAAGAUAAUCUCUUCCUACUGGACUAAUUAAAGUUAAUUCUUCUCUUCUAUUUACUACAAAUAAUUUAAUUUCAUCUAAAUAGAUAUAUAAACUAUUAUUUAUUUUUGACAUUAAACUUUCAUUAUAUAAUCUUUUCUUUCUAAUAAUUUAUUUGGGUCAUGUUCAUCUAUUAUGUCUUCAGUUCUUUCUAAGAUUAGUCCACUUAAAUUAACUUUUCUACUCUAUUAGUCAAUAUGCCUAGUUCUCUAUCUAAAUUGUCUAGUGAGUUGUCGAAUUCUAAAUUUGAUAAGGAUUCUUUACGUUUUCUAAAGGCUUGAAAGUUACUUUCUAAUUUAAUAAGUUUAUUGCUUAGGUCUUCUAAUUUAUUACUAACUUUGCCUAAUAAUUUAAUAAUAACCUUUGCUUGUGCUUUCUAGAUAGUAUUACUUUCUUGACUAAAUUCUUUAAAGCUAUAACCUACUGGAUUAAUAUGUGGUAUUUCACGUUUUAAUUUUGCUAAAGAUUCUAUUAAUUGCUUUUCUGAAUUCAUUCACUGAUUUUUUAUUUUAUUAAGUCUAAUUGUAUUUGUAAUUCGAUCUGUGUAAAUUUUAAAUUUUCUAUUUCAACUUUUAACAUUCCUACAAGGUUUUAAUUUCUAAUUUUAUUGAAUUACGUUUUUUUAUGUGUAAUAAUUGAAUUAAUUCUAUUAUUUCUAUCUUGGUAGGGAAUUUUCUAAUCUGAUUAUUAAAAUCGGCUAAUCAUUCUUUAAUAUAAUCUAAAUUUCUUCUUAAUGUAUUAAUAUUGCUAGUUUCAAAGGAUUUUCCUAGUCCUAGUACUAGUUCUUUUAGCUUUUCUAUAUUGACUUCUAGUUGUUGUCCUAAAUUAAUUAAAUUGAUUUUCUAAGUGUUUGAUUUACAACUAAUUUUUAUUCUUUUUGUCAAAUUUAAUAUUUGUUUUUCUAUGGCAACUAAUUUCUAAAUCUAAAUAUUCUAAUUUAUGAAAAUUCAUAAACUAAUUUUAUAAAUCUUCUAAUUUGUUUCUAAUUUUUAAAGCUAAAUUCUCAAACUUGUCUAAUAAUUUUAUCUGCUUGUUAAUAUUAUAAUAUUCUAAAUUAAACUUUCUAAAGUCAAAUACCGACAAAUUUGUAAAAGCGUAAUGUUUAAAACUUAUUUUUCUUUCUAUUUCAAGAUUUAAAGGAGAUGUGUAGUCUACUGUAAGUUUUAUACUUAUGAACCUUUCAUCUAAUAGAUUUUUAAUUGUAAAUGUUCUCUACUAAUUCUGACUACUUUAGUUUUUACAAUUUCUAAAGCACAUUCUAAAAUUUCUAUGCAAGGGCUAUUUUUUAUCCAAGCAUCAAAAUUUUUUUCUAAAACAGCGAAUGAAUUUUUAUAAAAAAUUUUCAAGAAAAUUUAACAAUCGUAGAAAUACAUUAUAAAGUCAACAAAGUCUGCCUUGUAACUGUUCAUAUAAAAAUAUUUAAAACAAGAAUAAAAGAGGUGCUCUGAUACCAAAAAAAAAAAAAGAAAAGGAAAAGCCAGGGCUAUGGGAAAACUUGUAUGUGGCUUGUUCGACCAACAAUGCAAACUAAUAUAGUUUCCAUUCGGGUUAACCAUCAGAAUAUAUGUCACUAGUUUCCCGCCUAUAUACAGUGAAUUCUCAAAAGUUUUGUGAAAUUUGCGGAAGCUGCCUUGGCAAAAACUGACUUUUCAAAGUUUAUUAAACUGAUUCUAAAAACAUGUUGGUUAAAAGUAUUUUUAAACUCCUAACUCACGCCCAAAAAUGCUUUCUCAACAAAUUAAUGGCUAAAUGGGCCAAUAGAAUCCGUGUUUAAAAAGAAGCUUUCAGAAAAUCAAUAGAAACCUCUACUAAAUGCUUAUUAUUUUUGUCAAAAGCAAAAACCCAUUUUUUAAAAACUUUUCUUCAAAAUUCUUUUCUCUUGAAUAAUAACAACAAUUGCCUUUUGUUAAUGCUUUAAAUAUAAUUUAUACUUUUCGUUAACUAGGUGGGACUUCUGAACGUGAAAGCUAAAUAAGUAAAACUAAAGAAAUAAAAUCUACAUAUUUGAUAAGAGCUUUCUAGUUGAUGUUUAAACGAUUGCUAAGUGUCUAUGAAUAAGAAGCUUUUUUAUUGCUUUUUAUUCGACAAAUUAUUAAGUGAAAAAAGAGUUACUUUAAAUCGAUUCUUACAUUUUUAUAAUUGACCUUUUCCAAAAAAUAAUAGUAAGUUCCAAGAGUUACUUAUUAUGCUAAGGGAAUGAGCUCGAGCUUCAUACAACUUAUUCUCUUUAAAUAAUGAUAGAUUUCUCCUCGUGCAUAAGUGAUAAUAGAUUUUUUAGCUUAAUGCUUGGGCUUGGUAGACCUAGAUAUAUAUAUAUAUAUAUAUAUAUAUAUAUAUAUAGAGAGAGAGAGAGAGAGAGAGAAAGAGAGAGAUUACCUUCCUAUCCUUUCCUCAUUUACAUGCUAAAUUACUUUGGACAUACUCUCUAGAACAGUUUAGUCCAUAAUGUUUGAUGUGGCAUGAUAGGCAUGGAUAUCUCUAAUGACUUCACAAACAAAUGAACAUUCCUAAUGCCCUCAAACAUCUUCUUUUAAAGGUAGGUUUUAUGUUUGUUCUUCUACUAACUCUUCUCCUUCAAUUAAUAAAAAUAAAUCUUUUGGAAAUUCAUGGAAUGAUACAUGAAUUUCACAAACAAAAAUCCAUGUAUCUUUUGUAUAUCUCUAAUAACUUCACAAACAAAUGAACAUUCCUAAUGCCCUCAAACAUCCUCUUUUAAAGGUAGGUUUUAUGUUUGUUCUUCUACUAACUCUUCUCCUUCAAUUAAUAAAAAUAAAUCUUUUGGAAAUUCAUGGAAUGAUACAUGAAUUUUUGCAAUUGGUGAUUGGUUUUCCCAUCCUAAAUCAUUGACAAGAACAAUCGAAAAGGCAGCAACAACACUAGAGGCAGUAAAAGUCAUAGGAGUAGCCUCAAAACUUCUAGCUAGCUUGUUUUUAUUAGUUGCCAUUGCAAUAAUUCACAAUCUAUUUUAAGAUUGUUAUAAAAUCACUAUGAAUAAGGGAUAUAAAUUAGUAAGUGAUAUAAGAUAGUUCAGGUUUGCAAAAAUAUACAAGUUUGGUUUCUAGGAAAGACUAAAAAGGUUAUAAACAAUAGAACCUUCUUAGAGUACUUAAGCUUACUAAUAAGCCAUUUAUGCAUAUCGCAAGUUUAGAAAAAGAAAAUUGGAAUAACAUUAAUUUAUUAUAAAUCAAGACAAUAUGUAAAUCCAAAAAAAAAAUAAUAAUAAGGCCUAUAAAGUUACAAGUCCAUAAAACAAAUUUGCCACAUUCUCAGUGGUGCUUAGGUUAUAUUGGUAUUUAUCUCUUAGGAUUCGAAUAGUCUUGAUUGCGCAACUUUACUAUUAUGUGAAUUUCAAACUACUGAUUGGACUCUAUCACAUUGAAGCUUGAAGCUAGGAGAAUUUAUUUGAGAGAGAAGAGUAAAAAUCACUUGAAUUUUGGUUUGUUUUAUAAAUGAAAUUAUAAAGCCAAUUUAUAGAAUUCAUGGAGGACAUUUUGAUUAAAAAAAUAAAAGUUCUAACUUUCAAAAUUUGAAAUAAAAUAUGUAAUGCAAGCGGAUUCAAAUACAUGAAAUAUCUGCCUAGAAUCGAUACGAAUAUUACCCACAUCCUCAAUAUAGCAAUGCAUAUUUGGAUUCAAAUUUUGAAUCCCGAGCCAAUCAAUCAUACACUCAAUUUUCUUAGGAUCUGCUGCCACACUGCGGCUGACGUAACAUGCCUUAGAUAUUCAACGGAAGAUGUAGCAAAAGAGCAUUCAAAAAACUUCACAUAAAACCUAGUGUUUUUUAAGGCAAUGCAGAACUGUAAAAAUGUGUUGAACAUGAUCUAUAAGGCAACAAUUGUAUACAAGAACAUCAUUUGAAAAAAAAGAAAAAAGGAGAAGACAAGCCGUUGAAGGUUAGGCCGCAAUACUUCAUUCAUCAAAUUUUGGAAAGUUACAGGUGCACUAGUAAGAGCAGAAUGUUGGACACCUGGCUGUUGAGGUAUUUUUUUCUAAAAGAAGUCUCUAGUAUGUGGACCAAUGUGGACCAACAUUUCAUUAACAUUAAUUCUGCCACGUUUGGAGCUAGUUGUUAGAUGUUAUGAUAGCUAAUUAUAACUAUCAUCACUUCAUCUUUGAUGGAAAUAUGAUAAUAUAAGGAGAUGAUGAAAUGGUUUUGGUCUCUGACAGCUUGUAAUAAAAAAGAAAACCAAAACUAAACCAUCAUUACUGAUUACUGAAGCUACAGAAGUAUCAAAAUCGAAAAAUAAAUAGUUGUAAAGGACACAUCAAUGGCUAGAGGUUAGGUUCUAAACCUUCCGCAUUUAAUUUUCAGAGCAUGUUAUGUAUUAUUCAGAAAUAUGCUUACAUUUGAUAUCAAAGCAAGUGUCAUGCUCUAUCUUGAUGUGUUAUGUUCUUUGUGAUAUAUGCAAAAAUUACCCGAAUUUAUUUUUGUAAACUUAAAGUUAUUUUUUUUUACAUGUUAUAGUGAUUACAAUUGUUGUAAAUCAUGAGGAAAUGAAUUCCUAAUGGUUUUAUGGUUUGAAACAUUUAAUUUGGAGUUGGUAAAUCAUAAAUAAAGUCAUAUCUGUAAAACGGGUCAUUCGGGUUAAAAUAUGAAUAGUAAGACCCGGUUGGAGGUUGAAGACGAAGUUUGAUGACAUGUCGUUUAAUAUAGAAAAUAUAUGACAUGUCAUAUUUUUAGUUGUCUAAAACGGCAAUAGGUUAUGCACACAUGACAUGUCGUUUGCUUUAAGAAUAUAUCGACUACUUGUCAUCCGAAUGUUGUAUGCGAUGACAUGUCAUCCGUUUGUUACAUAACUGAGGUUUAUUUGUGUACGAUUUGUUAUUUUCGUGUGUAAAUGUUAAACGACAUGUCAUUUGGUACCGAUUCAACCUUGUGAAUUUAAGUCUUCAUAACAUAAAUUUAGGGUAUUUUUGUAAAUACCAAUGUGACAAUGUCAUAUUACAAUUUAUAUGCAUUAUUUUGAUUUAAUUGUUGAUGCAUGCAAUUUUGAAUAUAUAAAAAUAAAAUAAAGUAAUGUCAAGUGAUCUAAUAUGAUUUUAAUUAAUUAUGGAGUGACCACAGCAUCCUUAAUUAUGUAAAAUUAUAUAUUAAGUAUUUUUAGAUCACAUAUAAUAUAAUGGCAUUAAUUGUGAUUAAACAUAUUUAAUAUAAUUUAUUUUUUCCACAGGAAUUUAUAUUAUACUUGUAUAUUUAAUUAGGAUAAAAUAUCAAACUAUUUUCUUAAUGUACCCACAGGAAUUAAGAACCGGAAUAUGGUUUGAUAGUUUUAUUAUAAAGAUAUAUGUGAAUCUACUUGAAUUAGAACUUUAGCCCACAUGCAAGUUUUAUGUCAUUUGAUUCAUAUUUUGUAACAUGAUUUACAUUGGUAAAACAUGAUAUCUCUAUAUUAGCCUAAAUUUAUAAUAUAAGCAUGUGUUUUAAUUUAAUGUAGUUGUACAACCUGCGAGUUUUUCUGAAAUCAAUUGUGAUAUUCCCAAGUUAAAUGGUGAUAAUUAUAAAGUUUGGAAUGAAAGAAUUCUUCUUCAUUUAGGGUGGAUGGAUAUUGAUUAUGCUAUUCGAAAAGACGAACCACUUAUUGAUGAUAACAACACUGAAGUCGAUAUUGCUCUUUAUGACAAAUGGGAGCAAUCUAAUCGCCUCAGUGUGAUGUUUAUAAAGACUAAAAUCUCUGCUGUUAAAGCACUUGAAAGCACCCUAAUAAUGAAAUUUUCAUCCAUGAAGGUCACCAAUGUUAGAGGUGUGCGUGAACGCAUCAUGCAGAUGAUGGAUACUGUGAUUCAGUUGAAACUUCUUGAGGUUGAUAUGUCUGAAACCUUUCUUGUGCAUUACAUAUUGAAUACACUUCCACAUCAGUAUGGGCCUUUUAAAAUUUCCUAUAACAUGCAUAAGGAUAAAUGGUCAAUUAAUGAAUUAAUGACCAUGUGUAUUCAAGAGGAAGGGAGGCUGAUAAUGGAAGUUGGUGAAGGAGCAUACACUGUAAUACAAGGAAAGUAUAAGCUUCAAGCCAAGGAGAAAGGGAAACAUAAAAUACCUCCCCAGGAAGAAAUUAAAAAACAAUCCAAGUGUUUUUUCUGCAAAAAGAAAGGACACGUGAAGAAUGAUUGUCCCAAAUUUCAGAAAUGACUUAAGAAGAAAGGUAAAUCAAUCUUUUUUGUUUGUUAUGAAUCUAAUAUGGUUGAUGUUAAUAAUAACACAUGGUGGAUUGAUUCUGGUUCUACAAUCCAUGUAACGAAUACCUUGCAGGAUUUGCAAAACCUAAGGAAGCUAGUGAGAAGUGAACAAUGCAUCUUUCUGGUAAUAAGAUGCGUUCACAUGUGGAGGCAAUCGGAACAUGCAGUUUGAUUUUGAGCAAUGGUUUUAUUUUAAUUUUGGAAAAAAACAUUUUAUGUUCCAAGUUUUUUUAAAAACUUGGUUUCAGUUUCAAAACUUGUACCACUCGGUUUUUCCUUUAAUAUUGCAAAUAAGUUUUGUAAUGUAUAUUAUAAAUUUGAACUUGUUGGGAAUGGUACAUUGUCUAAUGGUCUUUUUCGUCUUAAUUUGCAAAACAAUACCUCUUAUACUUCAAUGCAUGUCCAUGAUGGUAUUAAAUGGUGUGUUAUAAAUGAAAAAUCCUCUAUUUUGUGGCAUCGAAGACUCGGUCAUAUCUCCAUAGAAAGAAUCAAAAGAUUAAUAAAUGAUGGAGUACUUAAUACUUUGGAUUUUACUGAUUUUGAUACUUGUAUGAACUACAUAAAAGGAAAGCAGACCAACAAGAGAAAUAAAGGUGCUCAGAGGAGUUCAAAAAUAUUAGAAAUCAUACAUUUAGAUAUUUGUAGUCUAGACAUGGACUCAUAUGGUCAGAAAUACUUCAUCUCUUUUAUAGAUGAUUACUCACGUUAUAUGUAUCUCUACUUACUUAACAAUAAAAAUGAAGCAUUAGAUACUUUUAAGAUAUUUAAAGCAGAAGUAGAGAAACAGUGUAGAAAAUAAAUUAAGAUCGUGAGAACAAAUAGAAGUGGAGAAUAUUAUGGUAGAUACAUUGAGGAUGGGCAAGGGUCUGGUCCAUUUGCGAAGUUUCUUUAAUAACAAGAGAUUGUUGCCCAAUACACUAUUCUUGGUUCUCCAGACCAUAAUGGUGUAACAGAAAGAAGAAAUCAAACUUUACUGGACAUAGUGCACAAUAUGCUUAAUGACUCUAAACUUCCUAAAUCCUUAUGGACUGAAGCUCUCAAGACGGCUGUGUAUAUAUUAAAUCGAGUUCCAACUAAAUAGGUUUCUAAAACGCCAUUUGAGUUAUGGAAAGGUUGGAAAUCGAGUUUGCGACAUAUACGUGUUUGAGGAUGCUUGUCUGAAGUGAGAAUCUACAAUCCAUAAGAAAAGAAGUUGGACUCAAGGACCAUUAGUGGGUAUUUCGUUGGAUAUACUGAAAGGUCUAAAGGGUACAUAUUUUAUUGUUCAUCUAAUAGCACUAUAAUUGUGGAAUCAAGAAAUGAAAAAUUUCUUGAAAAUGACUUAAUCAGUAGGAGUGAUCGAUCUCAGACUAUUAUUUCUGAAAAAGAUAAUUCAAAUGCUCAACCUUCCACCUCAAGUGUAGAUUGAUUGUUAUUCACAAUUCUCUUCAAGUUCAAACAGGUGUUGUGCAACUAAUUGUUGAAGUUCUACAAGUUGCUGAUAAUAAUCCAGUAGAUCAAGCUACUUAGGAAUUACCUGAAACCCUUGAGUAACCAGUUGAACAACAUGCUCCUCAGGAGAAUAUUGGUCCAACAUUAAGAAUAUCUACUAGAAUAAAGAAACCAGCAAUUUCUAGUGAUUAUAAAGUGUAUCUGCAAGAAUCUGACUAUAAUAUUGGAGCAAAAAAUGAUCAUGAAUCUGUUUCACAAGCCAUGAAUUCCAAAGAAUCAUAUUUAUGGUAUGAUGCCAUGAAGGAAGAGAUGAAUUCUAUGUCAUCCAACGGAGUCUGGGAUCUUGUUGAGUUGCUUAAUGGUGUAAAAGCCAUAUAAUGUAAAUGGAUCUUUAAGACAAAGAAAGACUAAUUAGGCAACAUUGAAAUAUAUAAAGCAAGACUCGUUGCUAAAGGAUUCACUCAGAUAGAAGGAAUCGAUUACAAGGAGACUUUUUCUCCUGUAUCAAAGAAAGAUUCUUUUCGUAUCAUUAUGGCAUUAGUUGCUAAUUUUGAUUUGGAACUGCAUCAAAUAGAUGUGAAAACAACAUUUCUUAAUGGAGAUCUAGAGGAAGAGGUUUAUAUGAAACAACCAGAAGGAUUCUCCUCUAGUGAUCUUUAAGAAAUCUAUAUAUGGAUUGAAACAAGCUUCCCGUCAGUGGUAUUUAAAAUUCCAUGAUGUUAUCUCUUCAUUUGGAUUUGUAGAGAACCUUAUGGAUCAAUGUAUAUACCAGAAGGUCAGUGGGAGUAAGAUUUGUUUCCUUAUUUUAUAUGUAGACGAUAUUCUGCUUGCAUCUAACAAUAAAGGGUUGUUUUGUGAAAUAAAAUAAUUUCUCUCUCAGAAUCGACAUGAAGGAUAUGGGUGAUGCAUCUUAUGUCAUAGGCAUUAAGAUCCAUAGAGACAGAUUUCAGGGAAUUUUGAGUCUGUCUCAAGAAACUUAUAUCAACAAGGUCUUAGAGAGAUUUCAGAUGAAAAAUUGUUCACCUAGUAUAGCUCCCAUUGUGAAGGGUGACAGGUUCAAUUUGUACUAAUGCCCCAAAAAUGAUUUUGAAAGGGAACAAAUGAAAAAUAUUCCUUAUGCAUCUACUAUUGGAAGCUUGAUGUAUGCUCAAAUUUGUACAAGACCUGACAUAGCAUUUGCUUUUGGAAUCUUGGGAAGAUAUCAGAGUAAUCUAGGUUUAGACCACUGGAAAACUGUAAAGAAAGUAAUGAGGUACCUUUAAGGCACCAAGGAUUACAUGCUUAUGUAUAGACAAAUUGAUAAUUUGGAGGUCAUUGGCUACUCCGAUUUAGACUUUGCUGGCUGUGUUGAUUCACGGAAAUCAACAUCUAGAUAUAUUUUUACACUCGCCAAUAGAGCUAUAUCUUGAAGAAAUACAAAGCAAACUUUGACUGCUACUUCCACUAUGGAGACUGAGUUCGUUUCUUGUUUUGAGACUACUUUGCAUGGUGUAUGGUUGAAGAGUUUCAUAUCUGGGCUUAGAAUUGUGGAUUCAAUCUCAAUGCCAUUGAGGAUAUAUUGUGAUAAUUCAGCUACAGUUUUCAUGGCUAAAAAUAACAAAAACGGAAAUCGAAGUAAACACAUCGACAUUAAAUAUUUAGCCAUAAGGGAAUGUGUUAAAGAAAAGAAAGUGGUCAUUGAACACGUUAACACUGAAUUGAUGAUUACUAAUCCUUUAACAAAGGGCAUGCCACCACAAAAGUUUAAGGAUCAUGUAGACCGAAUGAGACUUGGUUCCAUCAUGUAAUUUUCACUGUAUAUACAAUGUAAUAUAAAUGAGACUCUUGGUUUGCGUUUAUUGUGAUGUUUUCUCAUCUUUAUGUGCACAUUUAUUUAUAUUGAGAAAAUAUCAAUUUUAUUGGAUCAAGAAUAAACAUGGGUUUAUUCAUUAAGUUAAGUUAUCAUACGUGGCUGGAUUUAAGAAAAAUGAUGCAUUGUAAUACAUGGAAGAUAAUACUCGUUCUUAGAGGACCUAUCGCUAUGAUUCAUGUAUUAUAUUUCUUAAGUCUAAUUAAUUGAUAUCAAAUCAAGUGAAAUGUUUGGACCAAGUGGGAGAAUGUUGGACACCUGGCUGUUGAGGUGUUUUUUCUAAAAGAAGUCUCUAGUAUGUGGAUCAAUGUGGACCAACAUUUCAUUGACAUUAAUUCUGCUACGUUUAGAGUUAGUUGUUAGAUGUUAUGAUAGCUAAUUAUAACUACCAUCACUUCAUCUUCAAUGGAAAGAUGAUAAUAUAAAGAGAUGGUGAAAUGGUUUUGGUCCCUAAUAGCUUGCAAUAAAAAAGAAAACAAAAACUACACCAUCAUUACUGAUUACUGAAACUACAUAAGUAUCAAAAUCGGAAAGCAAAUAGUUGUAAAGGACACAUCAAUGGCAAGAGGUUAGGUUCUAAAACUUCCGCAUUUAAUUUUCAGAGCAUGUUAUAUAUUAUUCAGACGUAUGCUUACAAAGAAGGCAUUACUAAGAAUUCAUAAUGGCCAUCAUGAUUCAUUAGUGCGGAAAGCUGUUUUAGCAAUAUCAGUAUCAUGUGCAUGAGAUUGGUGAUAACCUGAUCGAAGAUCCAAUUUUAUGAAAAGAGUAUCACCAUGCAAUUCAUCCGAGAGCUCAUCAAUAGCCAGAAUUGGAAACCUAUCUUUUAUAGUAAUUUUGUAUAAGAGCUCUGUAAUCAAAGUACAUACGCCACGAACCAUCUUUUUUAUUAACCAACAAUGCAGGAUAUGAAUAAAGGCUGAUACUUAGCCUAAUUAAUCCAGCAGCUAGCAUUUCUUGCACCAUUUUUUUCAAUCUCAUUCUUCUGGAAAUGUGGAUAUAACCUGUAAGGAUGAACAUUUACCGGUGAGCUGCCUGGAACUAAUACAUGUGGUGGUCACGAGAACGAUGAGGAGAAAGACUGGGUGGUUCCUUAAAUAUGCUAAAGAGCCAUGACCUGCCGACUAAAUCUAUUUCCGGUCCCAAUUAUAUUUGCAUAGUAAGUUUAGAUAAAUCCCAUGUGAUAGCACCCAAAGGUUGUGGCCAGUGAUCCUCCCAACACAGUAUCACAUCCACGAACAGGGAGAAGAAAAAAAUUUGGUUAGAAAAGAAAGCGUUGAAUAUCAAGUGAAACAUUCAAAUGUUUACCAUUACCAUUGAAAAUGCCGCCAUCGGCCAUGGUGACUCUGAAUUGGUUGGUAGAAGCAACUUGACAACCACAUUGCUUAGCCAGGGAGGGAUUCAAGAAGCAGUAAGUUGACCCGGAAUCCACUAAAAUUAAUGGAUAUCCAAUAAGGGGUAUUGUAAAACAUGAAAAAUAUCCAGUGAGCGAAUUAAUGGAUAUUUCUACCUGUGGCGACUUCUCAUUCUCAGCCUCAGCACUCUAUUCCUCGUAUUCAGGUAUAUUAGCUUCCAAAAGCAAAAGUUGAAUUAUUUUUGCAGUUAUGCCCACGCUUGAAUUGCUCGUCAAAAAAUUGAGCAAGGGCCUUCAGCACACCGUUCAGCUUGUUCUUUCGCAGAAAAUCAUCGAAAUGAUAGCAAUCCUGGAGGAGCUGGUGCCAAUAAUGAAGGCGUGGAGCUAUUAGCUUGUGAUGUAGAAGCUGCUUGGGCAAGGACUACCGAGUACAGGCUUCGAAUGAUUUAAAUUUGGCGAGCAGAUUAUUUUUACCCGUUAUCGAUGCAGACUCUCCUUGAAUUUGGCUAGUUCAAAGGCUUGACGAAGAGUAUGGUCUCAACAUUUGAACUCCAACUCAUACUUCAUCACGAAGGCUAAAGAGAAAGCAACUAAUGAGAAAUAUCUCUAGUAACCCCUUGGUUCGAUUGGCAAGCCAUUUAAACUGCACCUGAUAACCUCUCACUAUUCGGUUUGUUUAAAUUUGGAGAGACGUCCCCCUGCAUCAGGCUCUUCUAAUUCACCAAACCAAGUGUACAAGGCUGUUGUGAAUUGUGCCAAUGACAAUUCUCCCAUUGUUCGCUCUAUCCAUUGGUAACAUGGAAUAGCAUCUCCAAUAAGAUGGGCAGUAGCUAAAGUCAUCAUUUGUGCUUUUGUAAUGCCCGUAACUCGUAUUGUCGUAGGUACUGCUCCGCCCGAAAACCCACCCACUUGGGUCUUCUCCAGUAAAUAAUGGAAAAUCUAUUCGUAUGGUUCGACCUUGCACCUGUACUCUUCCAACAAAAUCUGCCUGAUGUUGAAUUUGCUUCGCAGGAAGUUGACCUAAUGAAGCAGGUUCUGAUUGACCCAAGUGUCGGCAUAUAAGAUCCAACAUGGCUGGUAACCUUGCAAGUUGCUGAGCCAAAUUAUUAACCUUAUCUUCAGUUUCUUGAAUAUCCUUCAACCAGGAACGUGUGCUCUGAUACCAAAUGAUAAGUACCUUCUGAUAUUCGAAUAGAAACAAUUGUGACAGAGAGAGUUAAAGAAAGUGCAGAACAGAGGAGAAGACAGAAGUUUUUGAGAAAUUCUAAGUCAUUUAUUCACGUUGCUCGUGCCCCUUUUGUUUGCCAAUUACAAGAUAAGUAGCCAAGUAUCAUCUCCAUCUCCAUCUCAAGCAUGCCUUCAGAAGAUGUCAUAACUUUUCUUGAACUUCUAAAAUUUAUAAAUUAAAAACACACGAAGUUGUAGACAUAUAUUGUAGCAGACUAGAUUGCCUCAAAUUCCUUCCAAAAACAAGAAAAAGGAUUGCCAUCAAAUUCAGUUUCCAUUAUUUUAUUUUAGUUCAUUGAUAUUAUGGGCGAGUGUGCACCAUCACUAUUUUUAUUGUUAUUGGCUUAGAACUGUUUCUUCUUAUCACUUUUUUUUCCUUAGGAUUUAUUGGGUUUCUUCAUCUUCUUUUCUGCCGGUUAUAUCAUUUCUCUGUAGCAAUAGGAAGAGAAAACUACCCCUGCUUCAAAAUUAGCAUUCUAAACAAUAAAUCCUAAACUCCCUUAGAAAGUGUCAAUACAAAUAAUUUUUAAUUUUACCAGUUAUUAAUUAGCGUCCCUGAAUAUACAUGAAACUGCGCUCUGAAAAUAAUUGAGAUAGAAAGACGUGUCAUUGUCAAGAUCCUAACUUUCAAGAAAGGUAAAUAUCAAAACUAACAAAAGCUACGGGUUUAAGAUUAAAUGCAGCUGCGCAUUUAAAUAAUGAAACAUAAUUAGUUUUGCUAACAUUAACUAAAGCAACUUGUGCUAUCAGGAACUUGUACAUCAGCAACAGCAAGGGAGAAAAUAAGACAUCACCUCCUACGAACACCCAAAUUUCUACUUCUCCAACCCACGGCAAAAAGAAGACGUGACAAGUCCCCAUCAAUAUCUUUGAUCUCUCAGUGCCAGUUCAAAUUAGCAACAGAGAGAGACAACAUGAAACUUACGUCGGCUGUUCUGCAUAAUGUAAGGCCCUCAGUUCCCAAGUGCUCCAUGCCUGUUACUACAUGAUACAAAUAGAGAUGCGUGAGCUCUGACGUGCAAUAAGCAAUGUAUUCAAAGCUUUAGAAAGCUGCAAAUGAAGCUCAAGAAAAAUCUUUCAUGCACCUCUCUCAUUCCAGCAACUUAAGUUACAAUAGUUAAACAAUUUCUUAUUUACAUAAUUCCAGUAAAAGCAGCAAUUAUAUGAUGUUUGCUUGCUGGUUUUCCGUUACAAAAGCACAUGCCUAUUUAUAAUUUCUACUACAAAUCAUUAUGCUGCUUGCCUGCUUCUGGAGACAUUACUGAAAAGCAGGUAUGAAGUAAAAUCUCAGUUCACCCACACUCAGUGACAUUGGCAUCAGAAACGGUUCAACAGUCCCUCAUAAAGAAAGCAUUCUCUCAACACUACUGCAGUACUUCCACUAUAACUCACUUUCCAUAUCCUAGUAAGUUUUGAUGACUGCCCAGGAGAACCACCACCAACUAAUAUCAAAAGAAUAUAAUUAGCGUAGUUUCACUCAAACAGGAUAAUGUACAAGAAUUCCAAAAAAUACUUGAAUCAAAAUCGUAAUAUGUUUUUCCUUCCAAAUUACUAGCUCAAAAAAUUAACAAUGUGGAAUCAUCCUCAUCGAACACAAACAAGAUAACGUUCAAGAAUUUCAUAGACCAACCAACCCCCAAAACUACCUAAAUUCUUCUUCAAUUCUCAUCAAAUCUAAAGAAGCUCAUAUCUGAAAUAAGAGAAAUUCUCAAGUUAACAUUCUUCACAAAUUGUAAAACAAGAAAAUUUUCUGAUCUAUAUAUAUAUAUAUACACCCAUCUGUAUAAAUCAAUUGUACCAGAUUCAAGCCAGCAACAAAAAUCAAAGUUGCCAUUGCCAGUCUAAGUCAAUCAAUUUGAAUUACUCAACCUAUUAUUCAUCAUUCUCUUAUCUAUAAGAUAAACUUGCAAGUUGCAGUUCAAGGUAAUGCAAUCAGGUUCAAACGAAAGGAAUGCAAGUGAUGGCUAAAACGAAUAACUAAAAUAGCAAAAUCCCUCAGACAUAACACAUUAUACUGGAACCUUCUCAACAAUACCGACAGUAUUGAUAAUAUCAAAUUAUACUGGAAAAGUGGACCACAUGCAACUCACUUUAGAGUUUUAAUUUGUUCAGAAGGAAGAAUGAGUUACAAAUUUUCAAUAUACUAGACCAGAGUACUUGAUCAGCAACUCACUAAAAUAGCAAAAUUGCUACAGAUAGCACAUUUUACUAGAAAAGUACAUCAUGUGCAAAACUUUAGUUGUUCACAUUUCACAAGGCUAAAUAAGCUACAAUUUGCUAAUAUGCCACCUGAGAAUUCCAAUCCAUAAAUAACUUUGAACCAUCAUCCGAUCAACCAUCAUCUUCAGAGCUUCCCUCUUCACUGCUAUAAUCACUACUGUCAUCAUCUUGAUCCAGAAUAUCCAACUCAACAUGCCGAACUUGUAUGGGCUCAGGUGGUUUAUGUAAUCCCUGAGGAGGCACAGGCCGCAACUGUUGUUCCUCAAUUCUAGGCAUAGGAAGAGCAUCCAAUGGGGGCAAUGGUACCGCAUCCCCAGGCUUCCAUCCAGGUGGGGGCACAAGUGGGAAAUCUUUCGGUAACUCCACAGGCAUCCCUGGUUUCCAACCGGAUGGAACUGUAAUAUUCGGAGGAAGCAAACCAGCCAAAUCCUUAAGCGGAUUGGCAUCCACUGGCUGUAAAGGUGGUGGCUCAAUGAUAGCCUCAAUUGUCUUCUCUUUGGUUUCAACAACUUUAGGCAAACCAACAUCAAGAUCAGCAAAAGUAUACAACUGGGAAGCCCGCAUUUGCUCUUCUUGCGGAGCAGGUGGAAGUGCCCCACGAAGAGGACCCUGCCCAGCACCAAACUCUGGUGGUGCAAAAGUCGUGUAACUAAUUCUAUGAGCAUAGGAUAAAAUGUCUGAUAAAUUCAAUCGAGACUCAACUGUCGUAGAACAAGAACCACUAUCAUCAUCAUUGCCAUCACCACCCUCUGAUUUCACCCUUUUGGGGCGUCUGUAAUCCGAAUAAUCAUCAACAAGAAUAUCAAGAACCCGCUCUGCCUCCUUAAUCUUAUUAGCAAAAGCAAGAAUGGCAGAAUCCUUGGCCUUAAUUUCACGUGCAAUUUUCUGCUUAGCAUCUUGAAGAUCAAGAAUUUCUUGAAGCUCAGCAACGGCUUCGAAGAGCUGCGUCUGAAGGGAAGUAAAACAAGCUAUAAUUUCCUUAAUGGUAGACGGGGACGAGUCAAUUGGAGGCGGAGGCUGUGACUGAGCCUGGGAGGAGAGAAACGUCGGGAGCGAGCCGCGGAAAGCGGAGAUCCAAAGGGAACGAUUUGGGGAGACUUCGAAGAGUUUAGAGGCUAAUGAAGCCAUUUGAAGUAGAAGGGCUUGGGCUCUGGGGAGAGGUGGGAGAAGAGAGAGGAGGGUGGAGGAGGUGCAGGCGGUUGUACCUGUGGUGAUCGGGGCGGUUGGCGGAGUAGCGGAGCGGAGGUGGUGGUGAGUGGCGGAGGUGGGGAAUUUGGUCGGGCUAGGGUUAGGGUUAGGGUUUUGAAGAGAGGGCGAAUUAGGGUUUGUUAAACCUAACCUAGCUGGUGACUGCACUAUUUGGUGCUGCAGCAUUUUCUUUGUUUUGAUCAGAAGAAAUAAUGGGGAUUCGUAAUUGAAAAUUGAAAUUAAAUAAACUGGUAAUUUAUUGAAAUCUUAAGAACUAAUUAUGAUCAAACGUAACUGAGAAUUGAAGAAAACGACGCUGAAUUGAGAUUGUAAGAGUUACUUACAUGAAUCUCAUCGAUGGACCGGAACUUAUAAGAACUAAGAACUAAGAAGGAUGAAAUUCUGUUCCAUGGAUAUGGGAUUUGGAUAGGUUCAGUUUCUUGAAACGCCAUGUCGUGUCAGGCUGUCAGUGCGUGUUGUGACACACAUCGUAUUGUCGGUUACUUUACAAGAAAUACGCCGACAGGUCGUCUUCCCAUAAAGCCUAGACCAGAGUCCAGAAAUUUUUGUACACUUUUUUUUGGCCUCACAUAUAAGAAAUUUAUACUUGAUUAUUACUUUUUGGCCUCACAUACGAAUUCGUUUGACAUUCAAUAAUUAGAGAUCAAACGACACAUCCUUUUAAAAUCCAUUAUGUAUGCUUUGUAGAUUUCGUCCCAUUGAUUAACAUCAUAAACCUAUAUUUGUGUAGGGGUGUUCAGAAUCCAAUCCGAUCCGCUCAAUCCGUCUGAUCCGCUGAAUCCGAUCCGCAUAAAUCUGAUCCGUGGAUUAGUGGAUUGGAUAUGGAUUGAAAAUUUAAAAAUCCGCAGUCGAUGGAUUAGAUAUAGAUUUACUUCUGUAAAUCCGCAGAAAUCCGUGAAUCUGCAAAAAAAAAAAAUAUAUAUAUAUAUAUAUAAUUAAAAAAUAAUUAUAAAUUUAAUUAAAAAAAUUAUAAACGUGACAUUGCAUAGUUACUAAGCACUAUAACAUAUCUUAGUCAUUACCCAAUAAUAAUAUAAAAUAAAAAAUAAUUAAAUAAUCAAAUAUACAAAUAUAACUUGUAAAAAUUAUAAAACAAAAUAAAAGUAAAGUCACACGCACUAACAAAAGCAAAAUAACAUAACGCCAAGUCACCAACAAUUUACAAAUAAAAAACCAUAAACUUCUCCGCCGUCACACGCACUAGCAACACUCAAUACUGGUUGGAUACACUCUCGACACGGAUUUAAAGGACAUCGGCCGCGCGAUUCCGGCGAGAGCAAGUCAUCUUCUUUCCCAAGUCCAUCGAGCCACUUCACAUUCACUGGUUCCAGCUGAACAAUUUCACUAUCACAACCUUCAAGAUUGUCACUCGUACUGCUUCUCCUGGUUCCCAUCGUGGAUGGCUCCGUAAUCACCAUUUUUCGACAGGCGCAACAGCCCUGGUGAAUGAUCAGACUGUGUUUGGUUUCCGAAACUUCGCCAUUUCAAUUAAUUGUGGCUUUAUUUGAACAAUUAAUUUUGGUGUUAUAUUAACAUAUUAUUGUAACUUUAUUUGAACAAUUAAGCUUGGUGUGUUAUAUUUUGAAAUUUUGAACGUAUUAUUGUAGCUUUAUUUGAAUAAUUAGUCUCGAUGUGUUAUAUUUUGAAACUUUAAAUGUAUUAUUUUAGCUUUAUUUAAACAAUUAAUUUAUUUAAAUUUUAUUCAAUUUUAAAUUUAAUUGGUAGCAAAUUUAUUUUUAUAUUAGAUUUUUUUAUUUCAUUAGUUGGAGAGAACUAAAAAUUUUUAAUAAUGGUGGAUUGCAUAUGGAUUGAGUCAAAUUUGCAUCCGAUCCGCAGACGUAUGGAUUGGAUAUGGAUUGAGUCAAAUCUGCAUUCGAUCCGCAGAUGUAUGGAUUGGAUUUGGAUUGAAUUUUAUCAAUCUGUGGAUUGGAUUGGAUUGAAAAAUUAUAAUCCGCAAAAUCAUGGAUCAGAUAUGGAUUGAUGUCCAAUCCGUAAAAUCCGAUCCGCGAACACCCCUAUAUUUGUGUAUGCAAUCCCAAAUCCCGCUCUAAAAGUUGAGUAUUAAUUGGAUUUGUCUCAAUUCUUAAAAAAUUUUAAAGGUGGAUUUCAUGAAUUUGGUAAAUUGGUAAGUGAGACUAGCGAAUUUUUAGAAUUUGGAGAAUUGGUAUUGACUUCUAAAUUCUCUAGUAUUUUUUCUUUUGAAAUACUAAUUAAAUUUUAAUGGUUUUCUCAUUUUUCAUGCAGUGAGAUCAUUGGAAAUUUGGGGGUUUCGGUUCUAUCACUUGCAAUUUUGGAGGAUAUCCUAUUUGCGUCCUUCACUCGGCUGAUGUUUUUAGCUUGGCUGAUUUUUUUUCUUUUUUUUAAUAAUUUUAAUGUUAUCGUUAGUGACUUAAGCUGCAUUUGAGAGUGAGGCGUUGUAGCUGCUAUAAAGUAAAAGCUACAGCCAUGGAGUAUAAACUGAUGGUGUUUGGUAAAUGUGCUGUAACUUUUAAGGUAAAUGGUGUUUGGUAAAUUUUAAUAGCUGAGGAGUGGAUGAAUAUUUGUAAUAAUCAAUUUUAAAUAACAUUAUUUUUAAUUAUUAACAAAUCAAAUUAUUUUUCAUAUUUCGAAUUAUUAUAUUGAUAGACAAUUACAAUUUAUUACUUUUAGAAUUUAAAUUAAUAUUUCAUAAAUUAAAUUUAUUUUUUGCACAAGUUAUAAUAAAUAAUUUUUAAAACAAAUUAAUUUUAAAAUGAAAAUAAAUAAAUUCUAAUUUUAAAUAUUGAUUGAAGAAAUAAAUUAUACCAAAUAUGUCUAAUAAACAUCAUACAACAUAACAUAAUAAAAUUAAAAUAUAAUUAAUUACAAAAUUUGUAUAUAUAAUUCUAUUGUCAUGCCUCCAUUAAACUCGCAGCAAUGUCAUCUCUUAAGAUUAUUAUAUCUUGAGCUGUAUUAUCAAUUGUAUCAUAACGUUUUUCAUGAGAUGCAAUAUUGCUUAGAGUAUUGAUUGAAGAAAAAAACUCUUGUACAAACUUAUCUUAUACAAACUGAUGUGGCAUGAUAAAAUUGGUUGAAUUAAAUAUCUCUUGGCCCACAUGAUUUAUUUUUAUUAUUUUGUAUUUCCAUUCAACUAAUAAAUUAAUAUCAUAUUAGUUUGUACAAGAGUUUGUGCCUCUAUCAGCACCCUAUUGCUUAUAUGUUCGCUAAUAUUAUGAAUUGGCUCAUCCAUUGUUUCAUCAAAAUUAUCAUGAUUUUGUGAAUAUCUUCUAAUGCAAUUAUGUAAGGCCAUGGUAGCAAUAACUAUCUUCACCUGCUUCUUGAAUGGGUAGCUUGGCAUAUUUUGUAAAAUCUUCCAUGUGUUCUUCCAAACCCCAAAAGUACGCUUAAUAACACUUCUUAAGGAACGCUUGUAGUUGAAUGAUUCUUUAUGACCCAUUGGUUGGCUACUUUUGUGAAAUUCAGGAAGAUGAUAUCUUUCACCCUUAUAUGGUCCUAAGUAACCACAUAACUCUAGAUAUCAUGCAUCUACUAAAUAGUAUUUUUCUUCAAAAAAAGAAAAAUAUAAAAAUACAUAACACAAUCAAAUUAAUUGAAUAAGUAUAAAAAAAAAAUUAGAAACAUAAACCUGGAGAAGGGUUUGGAAACUUGAGGUCGGGAUUCGUAAUAGUUGUUUGAAAUACCCUUGCAUCAUGGGCACUACCUUCCCAACCAACCACUGCAAAUAUGAAUUGCAUAUCAAAGUUACAUAUAGCCAUUACAUUAUGACUUGGUGUCCUUUUUCUACUAAUAAAUGGAAUUUGAUCCUCCAUAGAUAUUGAGACAAGCAUAUGAAUCAUUUAUAGCACCAAUACAAUCUUGAAAGUAUCACAGCCAUAUAUAUGUUAAUCAUUUUAUAAAGUGAUUAGAUUUGUAAAAGAAAAUUAAUAAAUUAAAUUACUUUUGUCAGUUACCUUAAAGUAAGGCAUAUAUCUUGAAUAUUCAGAUAUCUCUUUGGGAGUGGUAGCAAAAUUAAGAUCCAAUGAUUUUAUCAAAUCUAUAGACAUAUGACACACAUUAUCUAAUACUUUGUCAAAAUAUCGGCUCACAGUCUCACCAAAAUGUUGGAACCAGUCCAUUGUUAACCGAUUCCUUACACUUUGUCCUAGUGUAUACAAAAACAUUGCUAAUAUCUCAGCGGCACACGUCCUUCUUGAACUCUUUAACCCAUAAUUAUCUUCUAAGUUAGUGUAUAAUUUUAAAGAUACAUCACUAUUCACUCAAAACAUGUUAAAGCACCUACUAACAUUUCUAUCAAGUAUUUCUAUUAAAUAAAUCCCUUAUCACUUUGUUCAUAAACAACUGACUAGCAAAUAACCAUAAUUUGCUCCCAGCCUGAAUGUUCGGUAAAGAAACAACCACUUUCAAUGCUUUAUAAAUUUGUUUCCCAUUUGUACCAUUUUAAGAGUUUGAAGUUGUUGUGUUCAUUUUCUCUACCCUAUCAAUAAGAUGAUCAAGCUGUUUUGAUAGUUUUGCAACACCUUAUUUUUUGUUCCCUUUUACGCCACUCUUUUACCUUUGCUUCCCUUACUAUCAUCAGACACAAUAUACUCAUCAGAGUCAACAGUGCUCUCAACAUGAAGAGAUUCAAAUGCGUUAUUACUCUCUAAAGGAAAACCAGAUGAGGGAACCCAAACAUACUCACUUGUAGCCAUAGUGUUCAUGAACAUUAAAUUUAGUUUUUUUCUCAAACUCUGGAUCAAUAUCAUUUUUCUAAAAUCUACUAAAUUGUGAAUUUUCCUUUAUUUUCUUUUCCCACUAUUCCUCACUUGCAUUAACUACCUUUAACCUAUGAUUCCACCCUAAACCAAUUUCCUUGCCAAUCAAAUUCUUCCAUAAUUUCCAAUCAGUUCUAAGAUAAUCCCAUUUGUUUUUCAUUUGAGUUCUAUUGUAAUAUAAUCCAGUUUCUUUAAUGAACUCCUUAAUCAAAUUUUCAUAUCAUUGGGAAGUCAAACAAGUCCCAAAACGAUGUUCGGCAUCCACAUUUUUAAUGCAUAAGUCACAAAAUACAUCUAAAGUCUGGGGGUUCCAGGUAGCCUUACUAGUUGAGCUAUUAGAUAUAAUUUCAUACACUUAAACCUAAAAAAAAAAGCAAUAUUUCUUUGUCAAACAACAAUACAAAAAAAUAAGAAUAUAGAAGUUGGGAAAAUUGCUACAUCUUGUUAUGGAUGUCGGAAGGAAAACCAAUUCGAUAUUAAAAAAAGGUAGAGAGUUAAAACUAGACUCUGAUCAAUGUCAACAAACUAUAUACAUACACUAUUAUUGACCCUUAUUUGUGUCAAAAAAUAGGGUGAGAGACCACUUAUGUAUUUAUCUUCAGCAAAAAUUUAACAAUCACAAGAAUAGAAAACUUCGUCCAUCAGCAUUACCAAGUUACUUUACAUGAAAUACUUUUCCAACAAACAAUAACGAUCAUAACCCAUGAAUGGAAACAAUUAUAGGCAAUUCAAUAAAGCAACUAAAGAUAAACCAAAACAAGGAAACAAAGAAAUUAAAAAAAAAUCAUCAUAAACAAGAAAAAUCAACUAGAAGCUUGCUAUUAACAAACAAUAAUGAUCUAAACAAAUUUUAAUCAAACACUGAGUUUUGCCAUGAUACAAAGAACUGUAAACUCAAAUCAAAGAUAUGGGCCGAUAACGAGAUCAAGAUAGUAAAUUUACAAAGGAUCUAAUCAAAAUUACAAAACUUGAGGCAAAUGAACACAACCCAGAUAAUAUAUAUUAUAAACUUAAAAUUUAAGAAAACAACCGAUACUACUCAUAAAUGUAUACUAUAUAUCACAAAUUCCACACUUAAAUAUAAACAAAAUUGAAACUUGUUACAAUAUCAGGGUGUGACAUUUGCUUAAAUAAGUUUGAGAAUGAUUUUUAUUAGGGGAAUUUCAUCAAAUAGGGGUUGUGCAUGUCUACGAAAAGCAACUACAAAAAUAAAAAGAUACAAUAAAAACAAUUAUUAAAAGCAAAUAAAUCUCGCAUGACCCAGCACCUAUUAAUUUAUUCUAAUCAAAAGCUCCAUCACAUUAUGAACAAAAAGGAAGAAAAUGAAAAAUUGCAUUUAAUAGAGUAAAAGAGAACUAAAAAAUGAUCAACAUGUAAAAUAAAACGCACCACUAACAAUGGCGUAUGAGAGUGGUUGCUGUCAGAAUCGAGUUAAUUAGAACUGCCACAGUCGGAAUCGUGUUGAUGAGAAUGGGCAUUUAGGGUUGUUUUAUGAAAAAAAUCGAUUUGAAAUUAAGUUUACAAAUGAAAAUGAUAAAAUUGAAAUUGAAUAAUAUAUAAGGCUAAUUUAGUAAUUUAAUAUACAGCUAGGAAAAGAAUUCUCUUGAGCUGCCAAAGCCCAGCUACCACAUCACACUCUCAAACACACCCUUAGAGUACUUUAGUGGGCUUCACUCAUUUGUUUUUUAUUAUUUUGUUGCUAUUCUUAGUGGGCUUAAUAGUAAAAUUGCUUUAUUAUCUAAUAUAUAAACUUCAUACAUUAGUUGUACGGGGGCCAAUAUAGUCCUUUUACAAUAAUUUUUCAUAUUUUAUUUAGAAACCUUGAAAUUUUUUAAAAUUUUGUAAGGACCAUGUACCCUCUUAUCUUAUAUAGCCUCUACCCCGACUAUUUUUCUCCCCAUUAGUUAGUAGAUGUUAGCCAAUUUACUUAUUUAUUGUAAUCGAUAGAAUGUAUGUACAUUGCUACAAAUAAUAGCACAACAAUUUAUUGUAAUAGAUAGAAUGUAUAUAUAUUGCUACAUAUAAUAGCACAACAUAGAACUAAAUUACCAAACCAAUCCCACAUUAGCAUUCAAGUCAUCCAACAAGUACUACUAGAAAAAUUGUCUUUACUGACAUUAGAAUAGUGUCACUAAUUACUUUCAGUGACACUUGUUAAUUGUGUCAGUAAUCUGGCAGUUAGAAAAAUAGUGACACUUGUAAGUGGUGUUAGUAAUUAUUGUUACUAUAGUAUUACCAAAAUCAUGACACCAUAGUAUUAGAAUAUUAUAAUACUGUAUCAGUGUUUGUGAUUACUGUUACUAUGGUAUCAAUAUUUGAUUUACUAUUUAAAAAUAUAUAUAUAAUGACAUGUUACCCAUUGAUUUGUUGAUAAAAUUAAAAGGUAGUACGAAAUAACAAAAACAAACUCAAUUUAUAUUGAAAAUCUUUCAUUAUAUAUUCAAAUAUUAUUAGUACAUAUAACACAUUCUAAAGACUUCAAUAAACAAGACAUUUUGUUCGUAAUAGAAUAAUCUAUACAUGAAAAUUUCUAUCAUCCAAUUAAAUUAUUUCUAUUUGUAGCUGAAUUUAUGGGCUAAAUUUAACAAAUCUGGAAGCUAAAUUGAGAAGUAUUAUUGCCUUUCACUCUUCUAAACAUAUGUAGUGCGAUUGUGCUUUAUCACACCAACGGCAUCUUCAUUCAGCAGACCGGAUAGAUUAAGAUACAUGGAAAGUUGAGGAAGAAACUCUUUAAGCACAUUAUCGAUAUCUGCAAAGGAAUGCAAGGAAAAUUAAAGAAAAUGGUUCCCAAUUUCCAACCGCAACAAUAAUUAACAAGCAAUAAAAAACAGCAAUUAACCAAAAAAGAAAAAAAAAUUGUUCCAAAAGCAAAAAUAUUCAUAAGCUAGUCGCAAAUAAACAAGUUUUCAAUGUAACAUCUAGUUUCAACACAAGCAUGUUGCUUUAUCUACAUAUAUCAAUUGACUUUAUUGGCUAGUUAAAAGUUAUCACAAAUGCUCUGUUAUAAACUAAUCAACAAUCACUUCCUUAAUCUAAUUUAUUCAAUCUUAAAGCUUUGUUAACAAGAAGGCAAAAAUAUAGCAGACCUUAUUGCACAUUCAAUUUGUAUAAUAGACCGCAUUGCACUUCUCUAAGACAUUGACUAUAAUGAUGAUAAAUGAAAUAAUAAGAGCACAUGAGUGACAGUUGACAUAUAAACAAAAUAACAAAAGGUACUACAUAUCUUUUAUAAAGGAAGCCAAGUUCAGAAAGUUAACAAAUGAACUGAUCAAAAUCAAAGCCCGUCCUUUGAAAUACGAAUAGCAUAAAAGUGCCCUCCCAUCAGGUUCUCAUGUCAUGAAAUAAAUAAUGAUUAUGAGAUUCUCAAACAUUUAUCUAAAAAUAAAGUAAAACAUAAACAAAUCAAUCACAAUCAACAGUUGCAUUUAGUAAUAAAAUUGACUAUAUAAAAGAAAAUACUAUUAAAAAGCUUUUUAUAGCAUCAACAUUAACUUUUUGAUAACAUCUGCAUAUAGCCAUUUUUUAUUUCGUGAUUAGCCAUUUUUUCUUCAAAACUAGUCUUUGUUUCGUAUUGCUUCUUGCCAUAAAUAAUCUUUCUCAAGAGGAAAUUUCCAACCAUUUUGACAAAAGAGCAUGAUUUUUGUUAUCCAAAUUACUAAUUCCUAACCCCUACCACCCCCCCCCCCCUUUUCUUUUGCCAAAGUAACAGUGGCCACUUAUCUAGGUAAGAACCAUUAACAUCAUCAAACCAUUCCCACAAAUAGUCUCUCUUCAAUCUUUCUAGUCUUUUAGCUACCCCACAAAGAAUUUUGAAUAACAGAAACAGAUCUUCAAGCAUAUAAACAUGCAGAAAUAAUAGUUAAUAAGCAGCACACAUAUACAAAUGAUAACUCAAAGGAAAUAAUUUCUAAAUAACUAUUUGUGAAAAAUGUAAACUUAUGUUGCACUAAAAGGUUACAUGUCAUUUCUUGAACUGUUGAAGGUACACGAGGCAAUUGCCCUGCAUUGUAAUAAGAAAGGAAGCAAGUAAAGGACAAGGAUGAGUUAUAUGGCUGAUAACUUUACACACACAUUGCUACUAAAUCUUAAGAGUCACAAAUCUCAAAGCAUGGAACUACAUUGUGAUAAGACUAUAGAGAGAGGCCUAAUUCAUACCUAAAUACUCAAUAAAUAAAGAAAGAAAUGAAUUCCAUCACCUGCAGAUGCUAGGGAAAUAUGUGUAAGCCUACCAAUGACAACUGUUGCCAGCUAAAAGCUAACGAGAUCCAACCAAUCAAAGCAUAGGUUCUCCAUUAGAGAUAAAAUUUAUGUUAGCUAGUCACGCCCAUGGGUAGCACAGUAGGACGUGUAGUUCAAUGUUCCCUUCUUACCCAACUGAUAGACACAAAACACAAGAAAAAUAACCACACACAAUAGCCAAACAACACAACAAUGGUUCUCAGUUUCCAUAGAAAUCCAUUAAAUAAAAAUUAAAAUGAACAACUUUCCCAAACAAUACUAAAAGUUAUAGGUGAAUGAAGUAAAAUUGAAAAAAAUGAUAAAAUUUAUGUGAUGAAAUAACUAAAUUUCUGCGAUGAAAUAAUUCUUCUCUUAGAUGAAAAAAAUUCUAGUUUUAUUAACUAGUCAAUAGGAGAUUGUACAUAUUUAGAAAAAAGGCUGGAGGCAAACCUGGAACAACAACACCAGGUAGUAUGACUGCAGCUAGUGGUGCCAUAUCAAAGCCACUGCUCCGCUUGCUGCAUAUAAAAUAGAAAACGUAAAAGAAAUAAUGAACAAAGACAUAAACGCCAUACUUAUCCUAAUUUUAUCUGUUCACAGAAUGAAGAUAACAUAUCUCAAAAGUUGAACAUGUAAAGCCUUUCCCCAUAUAAUAAUUAACAAGGAACUUUCACAGUUUCACCACCUCAAUGAGCACAUUUAAAUUAAUUUGUUCUAUACCUUUUGGAAAGAGCACGAAAAGGAAAGAUUGAUUUAGGUCGAUUCCUCAAUCUAUCACUUGAAUGGAAACACGAUCUAUGUCUAUGCCUUCUUUCUUUGUCUCUAUUAUACUCACGGUACCUACCAAAAAAAAAGUGAUUAAUUUCAAUUAUUGAGCAUCAAAGAUGCAUUUCACACUUGUAAAUAAAGUUUAGGGUUUUUUUUUCUAAUUUAUUUGGUUCUUUCAUCAAUCAUUUAAUCGAUUUUCUAUAGAUCUGAUCUAAAAAUAUAAAAAUCAAGAAAUUAAUCACUCUUUUUUUCAUAAUAAAAAAAUUAAAUUACAACCUAAUUCCCUCAUUUUCUACAAUUCACGAAAUAAAGAGAUAACACAUGUCAAAAAAAUUCAAAUCUAAUAUGAAAAUAGCCAUUUAUCGCACAUACCUCGCUUCUUAUCUUUUAUCUUUAUUAUGAAUGAAAAGAACAACGGCUGAUGGUCGCCUGGACGAUGAUGACAAGCAACGAUGAGAGGCGAUACCGCCACGCCAAAUGAGAGGCGAUACCGCCACGCCAAAUGAGAGACAACGAUCAUGAAGACUGGAUGACGUUCACAAGGGGAGGUAAAGUGAUGACUGCGAAGACUAGAUGACGGCAAUUUGGGCAAGGCAGUGAGAAAGGAGAUCGUGUUUUGAGAGUUAGAAAAUUAGGGUUCUUUCAUUUCUACUUACAAGUUCUUUUUCUAAUUGGUUUUUUGUGUUUAUAUACAUGUUUUUUUGGCUAAUACCUUAAAAAACAGUUACAAUGGUUUUUUUCUUAAAUUUAAAAGCUUGACUGUUGGAAGUCUUGGAUUCGAGUUGUUGUGGAACAAGAUUAGAAUUAUUAUAUUUUUUCAACUGAUACUUUGGUGUCAGAGAUCUCUGAUGUCUAACUUACAGACACCAUCGUAUCAGUAAUUUGUGAUACUUAAAUGUUAAACACAGAAAAUGGUCCACAUGUAUGUAAAUACUGAUACUUUUAAAAAAAGUGUCACGAGUUAAGUAUCAGUAAAGACCAUUUUUCUAGUAGUGAAGAACACAGUGAUAGCAAUGCAACUGUAUAUAUUUUAUGUUUCUGUCGUCAUUUUGUAUUCUAAAGAGUGGUGUUAUUGGUACCCCUAAAUUAAUCUUAUAAAACCCCUCACCUAUGCAAUUACUAUAAAGGAUAAAAUUAUCUAACCAAACCCUCUUCGUUCCCUAUUCCACUUCCUUUCUCUCUUUCGCUCUCUGUUACAAUCUAGUUUAUUUCUAUUUGAAUUGGGGAAGAAUAAGUUAGUUUAUUCUAUUUGAAUUAGUAUAAGUUAACUCAACGAUGGUUAGUAAAGUAGCUACGUUUUUAGCCACUCUGCUAUUUUUUCUACUUAUUUAUUCCUAGUUUUACUCAUGGUAGUUGUAAUGCACUUGUAUAUAAGUGCCCUUUGUCAUGAAUAAAGAUCGAACAAAUUUAUUCACUCAGUAUUGAGUAGUGGGAGACGCUAAACCCUCGAAGAGUUAGCAAAUUGUGCUUGUAUCUUUAAUUUUCCUUAAGCAAACAAUUGUGUGUGUAACAUUCAGAGCUCAAGCAUGGAGCUAUCAGAGAGGGUUGAGAAAUUAAAAAAAAAAAAAACAAAAUAGAGGAGAUUGUUGCUGACCACAAACAUCUUUAUGCUAUAUCACAAAGAGACUAGAGAAGAUAAGUCAACAAGUUUCUGGCAAAAACACUUAUCAAAUGGUAGAGAAUUCAGCUCAAACUCAAAGAAAGGUAGAAGGAGAUCCCAAUAUUCAUCACUAAUCAAGGCCACGAGUUUAUUGAGCGUUAUCAUUCUAAAGACUAUUAAGCUUGAUUUUCCUCGUUGUGAUGGAAAAGGUGACUCCACCACUUGGCUGUGUAGAGUUGGAAGUAUUUUUCCCUCCACGACAUUGCAGAAUCAGACAAGGUGACGUUGGCUUCAUUCUAUCUGGAGGGCGAAGCUCAGCUAGGAUUUCAAAUGCUGAAGCAAGAAAUGUUUUAUAACAAUUGGGAGGAUUUCAAGAAUAAGAUAUUUUCUCGAUUUGGCCCUAACCAAUUCAAACAUUUUGGUGAAUUAAUUAAGCUAUGGAAAAUCGGUACAGUGGUGGAAUAUCAUGCCAAUUUGAUAAAUUGUUAGCAAAAGUUGGGCAUUUAUCAUAAAACUGGAAGGAAAGUUGUUUUUUAACUCGACUUCGAGAUAGUUUUUGAAUUGAUGUGCAAGCUAAUAGGACAACAUCCUUAACCAUGACCAUUGGUUUAGCUAGAUUGUUUGAGGCUUGUAAUUAAGAUCAAAAGAAACCUACUACCCAGUUCUCACGACUAAUAAAUCAAGAAAAAUUUCAGACUGGUGGCCAAAUGGCUUCGACAAUAGUCGAAAGGAUGACAUCUGAGGAAUUAUCUGAAAGAAGAAAAAAGGGAUUAUGCUUUCAUUAUAAUGACAAAUUUGGCCUAGGAUAUUUUUACGGAAAACUGUUUAUGAUUGAAGUUUAUUGAGAGGAAUCAGAUGGAGACGAGGUGAUAGAAGUUAAAGAAAGAACUAACAAACCUGAAAUUUCAUUCCAUGUCGUGGCUAGUUUUCAAUCACCACAACAAUGAGAGGAAUCAGAUGGAGACGAGGUGAUGGAAGUUAAAGAAAGAACUAACGAACUUGAAAUUUCAUCCCAUGUCAUGGAUGGUUUUCAAUCACCACAAUAAUGAGGAUGUGGGAGGGCUAAAAGAGCAUUUUAUGAUAGCUAUGGUUGAUUCCAAUAGCACACACAACUUCAUCAGUUCGAAAUGGCUCAACGUGCAAAUCUCUAACCAACUACCUAUGGCAAAAUAAAUAUAAUUGUAGCUUCAUGUGAAAGACUAGUAAGCCCAGGGAAGUGUUCGCUAUUUUCUGGUGGAAGUUUUUUUUAUUUUGCCUUUUCAAGGAUAUGACAUUGUUCUUGGUACUCAGUGGCUGAGAUCCUUAAGGCAUAUCCAAUAGGACCUUGAAAAACUACGAGUGAUGUUUGCUUGGAGACCAAAAGAAGUAGUUUUACGUGGCUUACUGGCUUAUCAUAGAGCGUUAGUGAUAUUAUUCUUGUAACAAAAAUUACAAGAAGACAAAAAAGGGUUGUCAUCCAUAUUAUGCAAGGGAAAGAUGUGAAGGAUGAAAAAGUCUUUACUUUAACAUAAGUUCAACAACUUUUACAAGUGUACCAAGAAAUUUGAAUGAACCUAUUGGCCUCCCUCCUCGACGAAUCAAUGAUCAUCAAGUUUCAUUUUUAUCAAGAUGAGGACCAAUUGCAGUAAGUCCAUACAGGUAUCCUUAUUUUUAAAAGAAUGAAAUCGAGAAAAAUUGUCAAAGAUUUAUUGGUUGCUCAUACUAUUCACGCCAAUACCAGUCCGUAUUCCUCUUCUGUCUCAUUAGUUAAAAAGCAUAAUGGUUCAUAGACGAUGUGCAUCGACUGCCGAGCAUUGAAUCAAAUUACAGUUAAAGACAAAUUCCCAAUUUCCGUGAUCGAUGAACUCUUAGUUGAAUUAGCCGAAGCUUAAUUUUUUUACAAAAAUAGGUUUAUGCUCAGGCAACCAUCAAGUCAGAAUGCUCCUAGAAGAUGUCAAGAAAACUGCAUUUUGAGCACGCCAUUAUGAAUUUUUGGUAAUGUUGUUUGGGCUUUACUAAUUCUUUAUCCACAUUCCAAGCACUUAUAAAUGAGGUAUUCAAAGAAUUAUUACGAAAAUUUGUACUUUUUUUUAACGAUAUACUCAUUUAUAUUAAGGAUUGGGAUACGCAUAUCGAGCAUUUGAGAAUUGUUUUUAGGGAAAUUUACAACCGUCCACCUGUUUGUUUUGUCUUUUUCAAAAAUACACAAACACUUUUUUUUUUUCAGCGCGCCACCUGAAGUUCACUUUUUGUUGCAUUCUUCCACUUCCGUCUAAUUUCCGUUAGUAAAUUUAACGGAAUGCCCUUUUUACCCCUCAAAAUUACAAUUUAACCCAAAAUAAAUAGAAAUUGGAGAUAAAUUGGAUGGAUUAAAUUUUUUUUCAAAGGUGGAUGCUAGAAAUUGGAGGAAAAUAAUGUUUGUUGCUUGCUAAAUUUAGAAAAUUUGUAUUUAUUUUUUUGGAGGAAAAUAGUGUUUGUUACUUGCUAGAUUUAGAAAAUUUGUAUUUAUUUUUUCUCUUUCAAAAAAAUAAAUACAAAUUUUCUAAAUUUAGCAAGCAACAAACACUAUUUUCCUCCAAUUUCUAGCAUCCACCUUUGAAAAAAUUUAAAUACAUCCAAUUUAUCUCUAAUUUCCAUUUAUUUUGGGUUAAAUUGUAAUUUUGAGGGGUAAAAAGGUCAUUUCGUUAACAUUCCGUUAAAUCCACUAACGGAAAUUAGACGGAAGUGGAAAAAUGUAACAAAAAGCAAACUUCAGGUGGCGCACUGAAAAAAAAAAAAAGUGUUUGUGUAUUUUUGAAAAAGGCAAAACAAACAGAUGGACGAGUGUAAAUUUCCCUUGUUUUUAACAUCCCAAAAGCUAACGAGUUAAGAGUGAAGCUUGAAAAUGCUGAUUUGGGAAUAAAGAAGUAUUGUAUUUUGGCCAUUUUAUUUUAAAGCAUGGAGUUGUUAUUGACCCCAGCAAAAUUAAAGCAAUGAUGUCGUGGCCGCAGCCAAGUACUUGUAAAGCCUUACAUGAGUUUCUUGGACUCACAUGUUACUACUAUAAAUUCAGUCACUAUGGGAAAAUUACUGCUCUUCUAACCAAUAUGUUGAAGAAAGAGUCUUUUGAAUAGAGUUUGGCUUAGAGAAGGCUUUUCAAAAGCUCAAGGUAGCCAUGACACAAGCCCUGGCGUUACUUUUCCUGACUUUUCAAAAACAUUUAUAGUUGAAUGUGAUACUUCUAGGGUUAGAUUGGUGCAAUUUUAUUACAAAAGAGACUUAUAGCAUAUUUCAACCAAAGCACUUUGAGGGAAACAUCUUGUUCUUUCUACAUAUAAUAAGGACAUACUUGCAUUAGCUUUAAGACAGAAAUAAAGGCCAUACUAACUAGGUAAACAAUUCAUUGUCAGGACUAAUUAAUAAAGGCCAUACUAACUAGGUAAACAAUUCAUUGUCAGGACUAAUUAAUCAUCAGAGUCUUAAACAUCUGCGGUCCCAAAAUUCCACCACUAUAGCUCAAUAAAAAAGGUUUUACAAAUUCAUAGGAUAUGAUAUUAAAGUGGAGUACAAGAAAGGUAGAGAGAAUGUUGUGGCUAACGCUCUAUCCCAAAGUCAUGGGCAACCACAAGGUGCUAUAUUUGUUAUUUCCUAGUUGUGACCACAAUGGCUUAAAGUGAUUAAGGAAGAGGUUGUUGUCAAACCAAUAUUACAAGCCUUGUAAAAAAAAUCCAGCAAGGGGAAGCAUUGGGGCCGUGAAAGCUAAAUAAUGGAACUAUAUUUUUUAAAGAUCGUAUUUAUCUAUUGGAAGACUCUGAACAUGUGAUAACCAUUAUCAAAGAAUUUCAUAGAAGCACCUACGAAAGCCAUUUGAAAUCUUUAUAACGCAUCAAGGCAAAUUUUUAUUAGAAGAACAUGAGGAAGCAGAUUAAAGCAUUUAUGCAUAGCUUAGACAUUUGCCAAUGCCACAAAACAGAGCAAUCGGCUUCUGCUGGGUUAUUACAUCCCCUGCCAAUUUCGCAAUAAGUUUGGGAAGAUAUUGCCAUGAACUUCAUUGAAAAGGUUGCCACUAUCCAACAGUAAGACAACAGUCUUUGUAGUUAUUGACACGUUAUCUAAAUAUGCUCACUUUAUUCCUCUAACUCAUCCUUAUACUGUAAUGGGAGUAGCCAAAUUGUUCUUUCAAAAUGUUUUUAAGCUUUAUGGUCUUCUGAGGUCAAUUGUAUGUGAUUGGGAUACAACAUUCACUACUGCCUUUUGAAGGGAGUGUUUCGGUUAAAUGGGACUUCUUUAAGUUUUAGCUCCAAUUAUCAUCCUCGAACUAAUAAGCAAAGUGACAUUGUGAAUAGAACUUUAAAAAUGUACUCAAGAUGCUUCAAAACCUAAAGAUUGGAUGUGUUGGCUCCUGUAGUCUAAAUAUUGUUACAAUACCAGUUGGCAUUCAACAAUAAAAAGGACUACUUUUAACAUUGUUUAUGGUAGGAGCGUUCCUAGAUUGCUAAGUUACAUUCCUGUUACAAUUCGAGAGGAGGCAGUGGAAAAAGAAUUACUACGGAGAGAUAAAGUUCUUAAGAUAGUACAUGAAUGUAUACAACGUGCUCAGUUUCAAAAUAUAGGGUAAAGAAUUUAAUGUGGGGGAUUAGGUGUACUUCGAUCCUAUUUAGGAUUGAGGUGCUAUAAUUUUUAAACUACAUCUGUUAUAAAAAAAAAUUAUAACUAUGAAAUAAAAGUUAAUAAUAUGUAAUAAAUAUAAAUUUUAAAUAAUAAUUUUGAUAAAACUAUUAAAGAUAUAAUAGAGUUUUCAUCGUACAAGUGAAAAAUUAUGUCAAUAUAGCUUCCAAGUUAUAGUAGUUAAUAUUUACCAAAUAUUUUAGUAUUGUACAUUUUAAGCUACAGGUGACCAAUAUCAAUCUCAAACGCACCCUUAAACUUACAACCUUACUGACAUAUGUCUUUUAUUAGAAGAAAAAAAUUUAAGCUUUCAACUCAAUUUUAUGGCCCAUAUUAGAUCCUGGAAAGGAUUGGAAAGGUAGCAUAUUAGCUUAAGCUUCCAACUUCAUCCAAGUUACAUCCAAUAUUUCGUGUUUCUAUGCUUAAAGCAAGGAUUGGAUUGGUCAAGAGUGUGAGGUACUUGAAGAUCUUCUUGACUUAAAUCAAGAAGAAGAGUUAAUCACAACUCCACAAGCGUUAUUGGGCCAACGAAUUCGAAAGGGGAAAAAAGAAGUUUUAGUUCAUUGGAAAGGUUUGUCACCAACAGAGGCUACGUGGGAAGUCCGUGAAUUGAUUCAGGAGCGUUAUCCAAACUUCAUUCUUGAGGACAAGGAUGUUUCUUAAGGGGGUGUGAGCUGUUCCAAUCUAGUUCAUUUCUAUUUGAAUUAGUCAAGAAUAAGUCAGUUUAUUAUAUUUGAAUUAGUCAAGUCAAAGAUGGUUAGUAAAGUAGCCCUUAUUGUUAGCUAUUUGCUGAUUUUUCUACUUAUUUGAUCCUAGUUUUGCUCAGGAUAGUUGUAAUGCAAUUGUAUAUAAACACCCUUUGUCAUGAACAAAGAUCGUCGAACAAGUUUAUUCACCCAGUAUUGAGUAGUGGGAGGCGAUAACCCCUUGAAGAGUUAAGCAUAUUGUGCUUGUACUUUUACUUUUCCUUGAGCAAAUACUUGUGUUUAUAACGUUCUCUCUCUCAAAUGCUUUACAACUAACACAGCUAAACUUUUGAUACACCUAAACAGCCAUACCCACAUUUCAUUCUCAUUCUACUCUUUUAUUUGUAUUCUUAAGGUCAACAGAUUAAUACAAUGAUUAUUGAAUUUGGAUCUAACAAUAAUUUUUUUUUUAAAGAAAAUUACUCUAUAAGAUUAUGCAAAAGUGCAGCUGUGCAAGCAAUGUCUUGCAAACAUCCAGAAAAAUUGAGUCUUGUGAAAAAAUUGUUUGGAUAAAUCAGUAGUUAUGAAUUCAUUUUGGUCUUCGUUAAAAAAUAAUAAUAAUAACCCAAAGGAUAGCAAAUAAGGUUAAGAGCCAAAUAUUGUAACCUGGAGACUAGUUUUAAUCACUAGAUUUUUUUCUUUUUAGUUUUAAUCCCUGAUUUAAAAUUAUUGGAUUGAAAUAAAUUAUUAGUAUUUAAAUAUUUUAUCACUAAGAAAACUAAGAACAACAUGUAAGAAGGUGGUUGGAGACUCCAUGACAAAAAUCAAGAAAAUUAUGCUUCAUAAAAAUUUGGAGAGAGAAAUUUUGGAAAUUAAAAAGAGUAUUAAUAGUUGUUUUAAGUGGAUUUUAGGUUGCAAAUAAAUGGGACAAAACCUUGCCAAAAUAAUGAAUUUAUUUUUUGGGGAGUAGGGUACCUUACUUAACCGUGGUGUAAAGGCUAUUUUGGGUUUCAAAGGAGGUGAAAAAGAGUGGAAGAGGGUCGAUAAUGAUGAGAGGUCAGAUAUGAAACGUGGGAGCCUUGAAAUGGUGCUUUUAAACCUAUAAAACAAGGAAAUGAGGUUAGAGGUGGAGUCGGCGGUGGCCGGCGACCACACUUCGACGCUCAAAUUAGCUACUUGAACUUUUUCUAGGUGAUGAGAGCUUAAAAAUGGUGGCUGUAAGUUGAAAAAGACCUCAACCCCGGUGUAUUUGUGAUGAGUAUUAGAGAAGAUGAGUGUGAAAGAGUACAAGAGUAAUAAAACAUUUUUUGGCAUUUAUAUAGUAUAGCCUGGAUACCUUGCCAUGUGGCACAUUUUUAUUGGAGAUUUUAUUAUCCUUUCUGAAAUUCUCACGUCCUUUUAUCACUAUGGUGGUUUUUGAAUCAUUAGGAGCAUGUUUCGAGGGCAAGGAGGCAGUUUUUGGUGGAUUUUGUUGUUUUGUGUAGGUGGCGCACGCUGCAAGUGGUCCAAGGUUCCUUUGCAGAGGCUAUUUGUACAGUGGUAAGCGUGAUAGAUAAAGACCAUUGUCCUUUGUGUGAUGCUUUUGGUUUUUUGCAAUAUUUCAAUCGGUUGUUUCCUCUUUUCUAACAAAAUAUUCUUGAUUUAAUUUUAUCAAAUCAAAUAUUCUAUUGAGACAUCACGUGUGAUGGUCAUUUUUGGAUAUUUCCUUCAAUUCACUUACUAUGUCAUGGCGUACCCCGCGUAUCAGUUUAUCUGGAGAGUAUACUCCGUACAGGUUGGGUAUCCUAUGAGGGUUACUUUCAGUCACCAAAACCUUCUCGUCAACACGUGACACUUCAUUUUCAAUAUUCUAUUUAUUCGCCAAACAAUAACAAUAACAUAUUUGUUAGUAUUAUGUAAUUGGGUUUAAAGGGUGUCGGUAGUCUAACUCUAUUUUAAAACCCAAAUCAUAUCGUCCUAACUUAUAUCAACCCAUAAGUAACUUAUAUUAACCAAAUACCUAAAGGAUGUUGAAAAAUUACUUAUAGAUUGAUGUAAGUUACAUAUGUUGCAAUUUAGUUGCUAACUCAACCUUUUACUCAGGUGCCAGGAUUUCUUGCAUAAACUUUUCAAACGAGUAAAAGUUUAUCCAAUAAGUCCAAGGUUUAUGUCUACUAAUGACUCAAGCUUUCCUCGUGGUAGCAUAUGAUUCAAGUUGCAAGGCUAAGGAUAAAUCAAUAUAUGGUGCAUUCACCUUCGAGAUUAGGAAAUCAAAAUCUGAAAUCAAAACUAUUGAUAGCGUUUACUUUGUAAAAUAGAGUCGGGAAUGAGAAUCGAAAUCGAAAUCGUAGAGCCUACCCCAAUUUGAGAAUGUUUACCUCGCAAAAUAGAGUCGAGAAUCAGAAUCGAAAUCGAAAUCGGCAUCAUGGGGCUCACCCCAAUUUGAAAAUAAGGAAUAAGAGGUUGAUUCCUAAAGGAAUGGUUGGAAUGAGCCUCUCAUUCCCAAAAAUGAUAAUUUGGCCCUCCACAAAAUAAAAAAUAACCAUUUUGUCCUCAAUUAUAAUUAAUUAAUACAUUAUUAUUAAAUAAUUAAUAUAUUAUUAACAAUAAUUAAUAAUAAUAAUAAUUUUUGAACAAAUAAUCACAAUAAUUAAUGUAUUAUUAUUAUUAAUUGAUAUAUUAAUCUAUUAUCAGCAAUUAAUUAAUUGAAAUUUUUUACAAUUAAUUAAUAUAUUAAUAUAUUAUUAAUUAUUAUUAUUAUUAUUAAUUUUCGAAUAAAUAAUCACAUUGAUUAACAUAUUAUCAUAGUUAAUUAAUUAAUAUUCUAUUAAUAUAAUUAAUAAUUAUUAUUAUUAUAAUUAAUUAAUAUAAUAAUAAUAAUUUCUCAUUCCUAUCCAUUCAUUUCAAUUUAGUAAAUGCACCAUUAUAUGAUUUUAUACUCUAUUGCUCAUUUAGCACGCGUAGUCUUUCACUCAAAAUAGCAAGAUGAUUAUAACCAGAACAUGGAUAACGCAUGUUUACUCCAGAACAAUUGUUAUUAGCCAUAGAGCCACCAGAAUGACAUUCAACAAAUCAAUUUAACAAACAUUUGCAAUUCCCGAAUUAUUUCCAAUUAGACAAUGAAUGAAUGUUUACUAAUUGCUACUGCAGAAUAGAAGAAUAUAAGUUUAAAGCUUCUGAGAUUCAGACAACAAGAAACAUAUAAUAAUACAGUAUAAGCUAAUGCAUCAAACAUCAAAAGAUGAGAGCAUCAAUCCAUUCAAGUAUAAUUGCAAUUUAUCCAUUAGAUAGUACCAUUAAGACAAUGAAUCCGUCUCCUAAAACAUAUAACUCCAAGUCUAACAUUGAAGAAAAUACUUCCACCUAGUCGAUAGAGACAGAAAAUGCAGGAAGGAGAAACAAAAGUCUACACAUUUCCCAAAUCCACUCAUCUUCCUCCCACACAUUCUCAUCCAUGACUCAAAAGAGCUAAAGAGACUACAAUUCAACAACAAAUCCAGAAAAGAUAAACAAAAUAUUGUCUUGAAAACAAAAUUUAAAAACCAACAAUCAGAUUACUGUGAGACGCCCAACCAUUUUGAGAAGUUCUCAAACUCAGUAUAAUCACUGUCUGAGAUCAUCGUCUGGUACCAUGCCUUGCCUGCAGCCUUGAUCGCAGCGGCCUCCUCCUGACAGGAUUGAAGAUGGAAAGGUAAACAUUAGAUUCAUUAAUCAAAACAAACGAAUAAAUUUGACGUAGAAGUAAUAAAUCAGCUACUUAAUGCUUUUAAGAGAGUACUACUUUCUAACAUAAGUAAUGUACCCAGCAUUGUCCCCUUACAAUCCAUGGAAGGUACCUGAUAUAUUAACUGCAUCUAAUAAUCUCUAUUUUAUCAAAAUAGUUUUGUGCUUAAAAUACUGCUCCAUAUUUCUAAUUAUAUUUUGCAUCAUAAAGGUAUCUCAAAAUCAAAUUUGACACCAAUACACACAAAUUAUGAUAGACAAAUUAAGUAAUAAAUUGGACAAAUUAUAUUACAUGUUUUAAAAGAUCUUAAUUGUAAUUGUAAAUGGUUAAAAGUUAAACCCUAACCCCAUAACAAAUAUAUAAAACCUAAACAAAACAACUUAAUGAAGAGUUGAAGGCGGCACACAAGCAACCAGUACUCGCAUAUAAAAUGGUUACAGCCCUGCUGCAGCAGUUACACCUUUUACAUCAAAGAAGACGAUCACUCUCUCUGAGUACAGCUUUUGCUAAUCCGCAGUAUUCUUAUAAGCCAUAAAUCAAUAUUCAAUAUACUUUUAUCAUAGAAUAACUUCAAGACAAAUACAACAUGAAACAGAUCAUCUUCACAAACACAACCAAAAAAAGGAAAAAAAGAGUAUCUUACAACUGGAAAACAAAUCACCAAAGGCAGCAACAAUUAAUCACAUAUAUAUUUAAAUAAACAAUAUUAAUUAGUUAAAAGAAUAAGACAUUGUACCUUAGUGAUGGGCUUCCUUUUCUUGUCGAGCUUCUCCUUCUUAGCUUUAACCCGUUGUGCCUCAGCCAAAAGAGACAUCCUCCGAGCAGUCUUAGCAUAUGGGUUCAACCGCAACAGAGUAUUCAAGUUCUUGAGAGGAUUUUUCUUCAUCGGAGCCCUCUUAACCUCCGUCUUUAUCGGCCUUACAACAGACUGCACCUCAUCCGAGUUAAUAAUCCUAGCCAAAUCAGCGUUGACCAUCUUAGCACGAGGCAGCACAUAACCCUUCUUCUUCUCGGAACCCUUAUCAAACUUACCAUAAAUCUCAUCAAGCUUCUCAAAAGCCGAUUUAGUCCAAACAAUAAACCGCCCAAGAUGGCCACCCGGCGCCAGCUUCAACAAGUUCAAUCUCUCAACAUUCACAACCUCGACACCGGGAAUGUUCCUAAAGGCCUUGACAAGCUUAGCACCCUCAGCUGAGUACACAACAAGCGGGCCCUUGCGAGAAAUGUAGCGCCUAUUUCUCAUUUUCCCCUUCCCAGGGCGAAUCCCCUGGCUGUCCUUCGCCUUCUCGGCAUCAGCAUAUGCACCGAUCUGCUUCAGAACUUUAAGAGCAGCUGAUGUUUUCUCAACACUCUCGGCGGAAUCACUGACGACCAGGGGCAUUUCCGGAACAGUCUCGAUCUUGUGACCGCGGGCCAUCACAAGUGAGGGGACAGCGGAGGCGGCGAUGGCGGAAACGAUGGCGUAUCGCUUCUGGUUGACGUUGAUCUUACGGUG